AAAACUUCAAAACACCCCCCCUGUGGUUUCGCUCUUUCUCACUUUAGUACCCCGUGGUUUAAAAUGUAUCAAUUUGGUGCCCUGUGGUUUCAUUUUUAUCUUUUCGGCAUCUUUUUCGUUAAUAUUCGUUAAAUUAUAUACAAAAAACUUCAGAUACCCACCUAGGUUUAUCGAAUAUUCACUUUAGUACCAUUUAAUUUUAACUUUGUCACUGAUUUAAGAAAAAAAAAUGGUGAAAUUGAUAAUAAAAAAAGAAAAAUGAAACUACAGGGCACUAAAUUGAUACACUUUAAACCACAGGAUACUAAAGUGAGAAUGUGCGAAACCAUAGGGGGGUUUUUGAAGUUUUCCCAAAAGGAAAUUAAACAACUAAAAUGAAAAGUGAAAAUGGGGACCAAAAUGUUAUUUACCCUUUUGCAUGUGAGGUCCUUUUUUACUUUCCACAUAUCCAACUUAGUACAGUUGUUAGAUACCUAAAUAUAUAUGUAAUCAGUGUGAUUGUGACACUACAUAUAUGUGACCAAAUUGUGGUCCUAAACAACUAUAAUAAUAAUAAUAUAUACUUAUUUAGUUACAGUACUAUGAAGUUUCAAGAGUCUUAUUAAGAAAGUUGGUUGGAAUGUCACUCUUGUAGCCUUGACAUUUGGUCUCCUAUAUACAUUGUAUUGUUGAUCAUUUUGUUAUACCUUUUUAAUUCUUGGUGAGAUGAACACUUGAUCAUAUUUAAUGGGAUAAAUUACACUUUUGGGUCUUAAACUACAAUGUCCCAGAAAUUUUGAUUCUCAAACUUUUAAUUUAUUGUAAUUUCUGAUCGAUCUUCUUAAACUACUAUAAUUAAGUCCCAAAAUUUUUUUUUUUUUGACAGAUAGAUAGCACGCUAUCUGCUUCGUUUAUUUCAUUUAGAAAUAAACUUAGCUGGAAAUGUGAAAUAACUAGGAUUCGAAUUUGGGUCUCGGGUACCAACCACCAAGCCCUUUGCCACUUGCUCUAGGGACGGUCGGUAAGUCCCAAAAUUAUUGAUGCAGAAAAGUGGCAUAAUAUCUUAAUUAUUAUAUAAUAAUUUGUUAAUAACUAGCCAGUCGAAGGGUUGUAGGACUUAGAUGCAAUAAUUCAAAAAAUUCGAACAAAAAAUUACAAUAAAUUAAGGUUUAAAAACCAAAAUGCCAUUUUUUAAAUAUUACGUACAUAGUGACUGUUUGGCCAAACCAAAAACACUAUGUUAAGUAUUGUUUGAAGACAUAGAACUGUUUGUGAUCAAUAAAGUUUUAGAUUUACAUAAAGCAUUAGGAAUGUCUUCUUUUUUUCCCCUUUUUUUUUUCCUUAUCUUAAAAUCCUCUCGUUACCUCUCUCCUGAUUAAAAAAAUAUAUAUAAAAAUGAAGGUUCAAAUUUGAGCUUCUACCGUUAAGAUCUAGAAGUUCACUUCAUUCUCUCAUUACACCUACGUGACACACUAAGGGGCUGUUUACUUGGUGUAAGUGGAGGGGUGGAAGUACAAGGGACGAAGCCAGAAAUUAAAAUUCAGGAGAGGGGUGGGGGGGCAAAAUUUAGAUUUGAUAAAAAAAAAAUUCGUCCUCGGAUUGUAAGAAAAAAAAUUUGUCAGAUUCACUGAUACCGACAAUAUGCUCAAAAAAGAGCAAGACUGUAAGAGUUGAAAGAAAAGGACCAAGAAAUUGGAAAAAAAAUUGAGAUACAGAUUUUGUUAAAAAAAUUAAUUUGGCCCUCCUAAAAUUAAAAUUUAUAAUAUUUUAAUUUUUAUUAUAAAGGACUUUUAUAUAAUUUAAAAAAAUUUAGGAGGGGCCAUGGCCACUGUGGGCCCCUCAAUAGCUCCGUCACUGUGGAACUCAAGUUCCAUUACUUCCGCUAUUUAUUUUGGUGUAAGUAAAAAAUAUAGUGUAACUCAAGUUACAUUAGACCUCAACUUUAUCUACUUUCGACUUCUCCCUUUGAAGUGCCGAACUCGACUUCCGCCACACUCAACCUUCUUUAACAAAUUUAUUAAAUAGUAAAACCUAAACUUUACUUCCUUUAUAAUAGGUUAGAAUUACCUUAUUUAUAAUAAAUUAGAAUUACCUUUAAAUAAUAAUAAAAAUUUUAAUUAUUUAAGUUUACCACUACAUUUAGGAGAUAACGGGAUCUACUUACUUACAUCAAAACAAACAAUGAAACUCAAAAAAUUAAUUUCACGAGCACCAAGUUACAUCAAAAUAAACAAAAGAAGUAAUUGAAUUUACUUUUCAGACUGUAUGAGUUAUGUCAAGUCAAACAACAAAAAAAAAUCACACAUCAGGAAAACUCAAACACCACCUGCACUUGACUUACGUUGAAUCUAUAGAUUCGUCAAUCCAAACGCCCCCUAAUAGUCCCAUAUCGGAUGAUAAUGGAAUUGUAAUUGAGUAUAUAAGAGACCAUGAAUACUGGUAAUAAUAACUAGGUUUAAAAAUUUUUGGGAUGGUGGUUUGAGUCCAAUGAGUUAUUAUUGCUAGCGGAUCGGGUCGUUACAUUUGAUAUCAGAGCCAACCACCAGUAGAAAGUAGGAGAUGAGCCUCGGCAGAGCUUGCAUUUGAAUGACAUGUUAAGCCAGAGUUUGGAAAUGACAGGCUAUCACCUGGUGAUAUUAGGCCGUGUACGAUUAGAUCUGGUUGUUAUGGUCGUUUAUAUAGACAGAUGAGAGAACAAAAUUUGGACCAUAAAGUAUUCUAAAAUUUUUGUAUGUGUAUAAUACAUAUAAACAAAACUUUUGUUUAAUAUCAUUUGUACAUAAAAUUUCUAUAUUUAUUUUUUAUGAGACUUUUCAUCAUUUUAAAAGGGUCAAUAGAAUUGGUUUGAUAUAAAACUUAGCAAACCUAUUACAAUUUUUAUUUUGCUGAAAAACGUAGAGUUAUAGACCAUUUUUUGACUAUCCAAUCUUUCAAAAUUUUAAGGCCAAUUUGCAUAAAAAAAUCUAUUAGUUUUGAGCUUUUGCAAAAGUAGGCCGACUUUUUAGAUUUUGCAGAUUCGGAUCGGAUUUUCAGAAAACUGACAAAAAUAUUUUUAUUCUCUUUCCUCUCUCCUCUUUUUUCUGUCAUUCUUUCUUUUUUUAUCGAUCCGAAGAGAGAGGCGGAGGUGGCCCGCCUCGCCUAUGUCCCGUGCGCCCUCACCCUCGCCCUCGUCCGCGCAUCCUUCCUCUGCCUUUCUUGUCUCUGACCCCGCUAAGGCCGCGCCUUGACUCUCUUUUUUUUUUUUUCUCUCUCUCUCUUUCCGAACCUUCUCCAUCGCCUCUCCGGCCCUUUACAACAAUAAAGAAGGCAGUGUCAAGUCCUCUUACUCUCUUUUUUUCUCUCAUUCUUUUUUUUGGCUAAAUUACAUAAAACCCCCCUGUCAAAAUUUGAUUUUUCACUUUUCUCCCUGCUAUUUAAAAACCUACACUUUGCCCCUUUGUAAAAUGAAAAAUGUUCACAGGGGGUUACAGUGUGAAAUGUGAUGACAAAAUGACCAUUUUGCCCCUUACUAUUUUCGUCUUCGCCCUCAUCUUGCUCAUCCGCCCCCGCGAUUGGUCGCGAUUUGCACCUCGAUCGGUCGCGAUUCCUCUCCAUUUUCUUCUCCACUUGCUCCUCUUCUCCUCCUGCACCUUCGUCGCCCCUCCAUUUUGGCGAUUGUAGGGAGGAAAUCAAGGUGCGCGUCAAUGGAAAGGUGGGCAAAGGCAACGAGGGCGAAGGCGAGGCAGCCGAGGAGGGCAAGAGGGUGUUUGUGGGUGCGGACGAAGACGUGGGCGAGGACGAGGCAGUGAAGGAGGGCGAGGUGGCUAGGUGGCGAGGCGGAUGAAGGCGAAGCACAGUAGAGGGUGGAGGGUAUUUUUGGCAUAAAAAAUAUUUUAUAACGGAACCCUAACAAAAAUCACUAACGGUAGGGGGUAAAGUGAAUAUUUUUUAUUUUACAAGAGGGCAAAGUGUAGGUUUUUAAAUGACAGUGAGGAAAAGUAAAAAUCAUAUCGGGUUUUGUCAGAAGGGUUUUCUGUAAUUUAGCCUUUUUUUUUUUGUCUUCAACUCUCCCUCUAUCGCCUCCGCGACCCUCCAUAACGGUAAUGAGGACAUCGUCGCAUCCUCCUUCUCCGCCUUCGCCAACGCAGGCACCGAUGCCGACGCCGGUGCCGGAGAAGGAGGACUCGGAGCAAGUGUGUGUGAGAGCGGAGCCGAGAAAAAAAUGGCAAAAAAGAAAUAAAGAAUAAAAUAUAAAGAAAAAUAGUUUUUAAGAAAAAUAGUUUUUUCUACAAGAAAAAUAAAAAACUAGAGAGAAAAGAAGAAGAUGAUGAAUUUGCACUAUUUUAGAAAAUGUUGUACUACUUCGGGAGAACGUUGCACUAUUUUUGAGAAAAUUUACUCUCUUUGAGAGAAAAAAUAUACUUUUUUGGAUGAAAAUUACACUCUUUGAACAAAAAUUGUACUAUUUGGUCGAAAAUUUCACUAUUUGGUCAGAAAGAGGAGGAGAAGAAGGAGAAGAAAUAGUGUAUUUUUGUCCAAAUACUACAAUUUUCGUUCAAAGAGUGCAACUUUCGUUUAAAGAGUGCAACUUUUAUCUAAAAAAGUAUAUUUUUUCUCUCAAAGAGUGUAAAUUUUUUUCUAAAACAGUGCAACGUUUUUCUAUAACAGUGCAAUAUUUUUCUCAAAUAGUACAAAUUUAUUAUCUUCUUUUUUUCUCUCUGCUUCUUUAAUUUUCUUAUAGAAAAAACUAUUUUUCUUUAUAUUUUAUUCUUUAUUCUUUUUAUUUUUUAUUUUCUGGCUUUCACCCGCACUUGCUCCGAGUCCUCCUUCUCCGGCACCGGCGUCAGUGCCUAUGCUGGCGAAGGCGGAGGAAGAGGAUGUGGUGUUGUCCUCAUUACCGUCAUGGAGGGUCGCGGAGGCAGUAGAUGGGGCUGAAAAGAAAAAAAAAAAAAACGAGAGAAAAAAAUGAGAGGAAGAGGACGUGACGCUGCCAUCUUUACUAUUGUAAAGAGCCGGAGAGGCGGUGGAGAAAAGUCGGAGAGAAAAAAAAAAAGGAGAGUUGAGAUGCGGUUUCGGCAGGGUUGGAGGCGCGGAAGGCGAAGGGAAGGUGCACAGGCCAGGGUGCGCAGGAGAGGGCGAGGGGGAGGAUAGAGGCGAGGGCGACGGGACAAAGGCGAGGCAGGCCGCCUCCGUCGCCCUCUUUGGAGAGAGAAAAAAAGAACGAGAAAAAAAAAGAGAGAGAAAAGGGAAAGGGUAUUUUGGUUAAUUUUCUGAAAAUCAAUCCGAAUCUGUAAAAUCCAAAAAAAGGCCUACUUUUGCAAAAGCUCAAAACUAAUAGAUUUUUUAUGCAAAUUGGCCAAAUUUUAGUUUUAUUACUCAACUUUUUAAUUUAUUUAAUUUAAGUUAUUUGAAAAGAUGCAUUAAAAAUUUGAAGUUGAAGAAUAAUAAACUGACUCAAAUCACAUAAAUUAAAAGAUUAGGUGCCAAAAAUAAAAUUUUUUAAAAUUAGACGGUCAACCACAAUAGAUAAUAGUUGACAUAAGUUCUAUAUAAUUUUAUCUUUUAUUAUUAUUAUUAUUAUUAUUAUUUUCUAUCUUGGAAGCCUGCAAUUAGGGGGAAGUGGUUAGGAUAAACUCGGAUCGAACCUGACACCGGAUUCGAAUCCGACACCAGUUUCAAUAGGAUGCGAAUAUGGAUGUUAAAAUUUAGCAUUUGACACAUAUUUGAAUACGAAUUCACAUCCCAAAAAAGGUAAAAAAAUAAAUAUGGAUGCGAAUGUGAUUUCUUAAAAAAUCUGAUCAUAUUCAACCAUUUUUACCUUUAGGAAAUAAUAGGGAUGUUAAUAUAUAUUGUAAAGUAGUUUUCUAUCAAAUUCUUUGUUUAUUUUAUUAUAAGUUUCAUGUUAAAAUUGCAUUUAUAUUUAUUUGAAUAUUAAAUUUUAUUAAAUAAAAUAUAGAUAUACGAAGUUUGAACACAUAUAUGAAUUUUUAAUUGCAAUGUAUGUUUUAUUCGCGCUAAUUCGAGUUCACAUUUUUUAUAGGCAUAUGUAGUAUAUAUUAUUAUUCAAAUAAUAUUCGAAUACAAAUUCGAUUUAUAUCUGAAUCCAAAUUUAUUUUUAGCGUAUGUAGCGAUGAAAAUUUAGCAUUCGAUAUAUAUUCGGAUACGAAUUCGUAUGUGAAAAAAAUAUAAAUGUAGAUACGAUUUUAUUAAAAAUUUAACUGUAUAUCACCCGCUGCAUGUAAUAAUUAGGGUUAAUUUCAUACAUGUAUCUGCAAAUAUAGUAAAUUACAAAUAUAUCCCUACAAAGUUCAAUGUUGUUUCUGUAAAAGUCAUAAUGUUUUCAAAUAUGUUCCUUUGGUUUGUUAAUGUUAGAGCAUUGUUUAUUUUAUAAGUAAAAUAGUCUUUUUGCCAUCACAAAUAUGUCCUUUAAAAAAUUCUAACUGUUAAUUAAAGAGGGAAAAAAAAAAGGUCAAUUCACCUCAUUAACUAAUUCGGCUUAAGUAUUUUACCUAUUGUUAACUAAUUUUUUCCAACGAAUUCAAACAGUAGAGAUAUAUUUGUAAACAUCAGGACUUUUGCAGGAAUAACAUAUAAAAAUUAAAUUUUAUAGAGAUAUAUUUGUAAUUCACUAUUAUGUUUGUAGGGAUCUGUAUGAAAUUAACUCUAAUAAUGAUUAGAUGACUUGAAUAAGAUGUUGGAGGCGCAAAUGAGCCGUUGGACUCUAACCAUUCAUUUAUUUAUACACAAAAUCUCACUCCUCAACCAACAUGAAUCAACAUCAAUGAUUACAAGCAAUGAUUGUGUGUUGGCAAACAUGACAUCUCCCCCUCAACAACUCCUCUCCAGUUUCCACACGCGUCUUCUUCAUUCCUCUCUCAUCAUAAGCUUUCCCUCCUCCACAUGCCCAUAUAGUUAGGGAGAUAGAGACAAGACUAAAUUACAUUUUUAAGUCAUGUAUUCUAAUUCUCAAAUUUUAAUUUAUUAUUUAAUUAUUUUAAUUGAAAUUUUUAGAAUUAUAUAUAUUGCUGAUAUAAAAGUGUGAUUUUGCAUCUCAAUUAUCGGCGUAUCAUCAAUUCCAUCACUAAAACAUCAUUUCUAUAUAUAUUGAUAAUUCAUCACUAUAUAAUCAAUUAAAUCGGAUUAUAAGACUUGAUUAUAAUAAUUCUCAAAGUUUGAGCCAGAAAUUAUAAUAAAUUAAAGUUUUAUGACCAAAAGUUUCACCCCGCUUAUAGCUUGAGGACCAAACAUGCAAUAUUUUAACCCAAAUUAGUAUAUGUAUGAGGUGUACUCAUACGCCUAGAAAGAUUUAUUUGUUGAGUUGAGCUCCUAUGCUUUUAAAAGUACUGAAAUAUUCGCAUUUGUGACUUUUUAGCUGCCGAAUCGCUCAAGAUCCGUUCAUCACUAUCUAUUAAGUCUCUAUUAUUGGUACUGUACGGAUUCUAAAACAAUCCGACGAUUAAAAAAUCACAAACACGUUAAGCUUCUUCUGUUGCUUUUAUCAUUACACAUCUGACUUGAGCGUAGAACCUCAACUCAGAAAUGUUAAUUCUUUGAUAUUAAAUGUUUUAUCAUUAAAUGUAUAUAUAAGUAUUAAUGAACGGGGGAGUGAAAGAUAACAAACUAAAAAGUGGUUGGGCUUUCUAUUUUGUUUGCCCCUCAAGUCUUCGACCAGCAUUUAUUAUUUGGUUGGUUGCAUGGCUCCAAGAUUUGGACCACAUUUGUAGAUUUUUCUUUUUUUUUUUUCCUUAGAUUUUCACAUGCGUUUGAUUUCACUAGGAAGCAAGAAUUUAAAUGUCCAUCGGCACGGACUAUAUCGUGCUAGUAAGAUAUCGACACGCUAUAGCUUCUAUGCCGAUGGCACAACUAAAAAUCCUCUAUUUUUGAAAUUAGUAAGUAAUUUUCUUAAUAAAAUUCAAAAGAUUUGAUAAAAAUAUAUAAUAAAUAAUUGACAUAAUUUAUUGUUAAAGAAAAUAAAUAUUUCUUGCCAUUAUAUGUCGACACAUAUAUAUUUUUUGUGAUCAAUAUGCACCGGUAUAGCCCAACAUGCAUCGUGCCAACAAGUUUCCAGCACGACUCCGUGUCACGACACUUAAAUCCUUGCUGAGAAACAUGCGUUAUGUAUAGUAAUAAAGAGUACAAUAGAAAAUAUUGUAUUUAUUACUAUAAAAAAUAGCUCGUCGUCUAGAUCGUACUUGUCAAUUUGGUUAUGAUAUGAUUUCUGCAGUUCUAUUGAAAAAUUGAGAAGGGUAAAUUGCACAAUUUAUCCUUAAACUAUCAGUCACAUGGCACUUGGUCUUCAAACUUUAAUUAUUUUAAUUUCUAGCUCGAACCUUCUAAAUUAUUACAAUCAAGUCCCACGGCUUAGUUUAGUUACUAAAUGUUGAUAAAUUAUUAAUAUAAAAGGAAUGUUGAAGUAUUAUGAUUGUUAAUGCAAAAAAAAAAGAAAAGAUGUUACUUUACUUUUACAUCAAUGACGUAUCAAUAUUUAGUUAAUUAUAUUGAGUUGUGAAAUUUAAUUGUAAUAAUUUUGAAAUUUCGAGCCAGAAAUUAAAAUAAAUUAAAGUUUGAGGAUCAAAAUGUUAUUAGACUUGUAGUUUGAGGACCAAAUGUAAUUUACCUAAUUGAGAAGCAUAUCUCUUAUAUGUUUUUUUUUUUUUUUUUUUUUAUUCAAUAGCAUUAGAUACUUCUCAAUACCAAAGGUGCAUAUGGGAAUAUUUAUUAUUGGUAAAAAAGUACAAAACUUAUAUGAACUAUAGACCAUUUUGAUCGGAGUUGGCUAUCUCAUCUUUCAUAAUUUUAAUUUCACUACUCAACAAUUCAAUUUAUUUGAUUUGAAUUAAUCAACGGCAUUUUAACUUCAAAAUUUGAAUAUGUUGUUGAUAUUUAUAAGUUUAGAUAACAUACUAUAUGUAAUUUUACUAACUAUAAAUUUACUAAAGUAAUUAGUUUAAAUUUUGAAGCCAAAGUACCGUUCUCUAAUUCAAAUCAAACAAAUUGAAAGGUCAGAUAAUAAAAUCAAAUUUUAAAAGAUUGGAUAGCUGACUCAAAAUUCUCCAUAGUUCAGAUAAGUUCCGUAUGUUUUUAACCUUUAUUACAUUCAUAAAUCAAUAAGAGCUUUUCAUAUUAUAUAUUAAGUUUGGGGUUUAGGGUUUAGGGUUAUAGGGUUUAUAUAUUUAAGCGUUUCAAAUGAAAAAAGGGGUUGAUGAGUGAGAAUGUAUAUUAAGUCUUCAAUUUUUGAUCUGUUAGUACACCGUUCAUCUGAAUUGUACUCUUAUUUAGAGUAAUUGCUAUCAUAAACAUUGAGUGAUAAUGUAUAUUAAGUCUUCAAUUUUUGAUUUGUUAGUACACCGUUCAUCUGAAUUGUACUCUUAUUUAGCGUAAUUGCUAUCAUAAACAUUGAGUGAUAAUGUAUAUUAAGUCUUCAAUUUUUAAUCUGUUAGUACACCGUUCACCUGAAUUGUACUCUUAUUUAGAGUAAUUGCUAUCAUGACAUCGUACGAUAAUUACUACUACGAGUAUUGUAGGAUAGUAUUCUAUCGAAUCAUUGCUCUAGUGACAUGCUAUAUGCUAAGGCCAAAUUAAUUAGCUUGUACAGUACAGACUAACACAUCAGCAGAUAUAUAGAUAUAUUAAAAAUUCAAUUCUUUUCUCCAAUUAUUAAUGAAUCUUGGCAUAGAUACCUGAAAAACAUUGCCUUUAUUAGUAUAGCAGUUGAUGUCAUAGUAUGCUGGUAUGCUGAUGUAAAAAGAACAAAUUAAGUUAUACAAUAACAACAUAUCAAGAUGCUCAUAAUUUAUUAAAUAUAAAUUUGAUAAGGGUCAAAUUAUUGCCAUUUUAUCCACUUCUAACUGGAAACCAGAAAAUCAAAUUGAUCGAUUUUCAAUAAUUUAAUAUGUUUAUUAAUCUUAAAUUAUAGUUAAAUAAGUGGAGAGUUUAACUACUUUUAUCUACUAAUAAUUUUUACGGCCCGUACAUUCACGACUUUUGUUUGGCAACGAAGAAAUAAAAUUUAAAAGGGUAAAUUUCAAAUUCGCUUCUGCUCCUUGCGGUAUAACAUAUUUUUUACUUGGCUUUUCAAUAGUUCAAAAAGUUGCACUUUGCUUCUUUAUAGUUUAGCUUAUUUUUAUUUUGCCAUUCUGUGAUUCAAAAGUUUUUUUUUUUGAGAGAGAUAGGUAGCACGUUAUCCGGUUGGUUUAUUUCAUUUAGAAAUUGUUAGGAGCCGAAUUCCCUUCUCUUUGACCCGGUCAAAGACCUUCCUCGGGAAGCGCGUCGGGAUGCGGAACGGCUACGAUUAGUAACCCUUGAAGUUUGCGCCCUUCGACUGGAUCAAGCGAUUCGGCUGAUGAGGGAUCGGAUCAGCCGAGUUUGAAACUUUCUACUGUAGAAACGGUUCGGCUGGAUGAGCCGAAUGUACGGAAUACACUGUAUUUUGGGUCGGCUAAUGAGCCGAAUGCCUUUAUAUAUUAGAUUGGAAUUAGAAGCUCAUACAAACAAGAGUGUGCUCGUAAGGCAUACAGACUCUAGAAAUCUAAAUUAAAGGCUACUCCUAAGAAAGACAGAAAAUGCGGGAAAAGAAAAGAUUACAAGUAAAACUACUCAUAGAAAAACGAUAAAUGCAGAAAAUAAAAGUAUUAAAAAUGCAGUGGUCUUCUUGUUCAGGGGAGAGAAAGACCCCUAUUGCAGGUUUCGAAAUUACUAUUUAUAGUGAUGUCUUCUCAGCUCACAUUAUUGGUCGGUUUUUAGUAGUGGGGGGAGUGGUGUAGCCAUGAUCGUGGAAGUUACACCCCACUUCUCAACCGUUCCCGCUUAAUUUUAAUUUUGGCAUCAACAGAAAUAAACUUAAAUGAAAAUGUGAAUCAAUUAGGAUUCGAACUUGGGACCUUGGGUACCAACGAUCAAGCCCUUUGCCACCUGUUCUAACGACGGUUGAUGUGAUUCGAAAGUUUUUUUUUCGAGAAAUAGGAAGCAUGCUACCCGCUUCAUUCAUUAGGAAAAUGAACUAGGCUUACAUAAUGGUGGCAGUCGGGGCCUCCGAAGGAAGAGGGAGUGAAAAAACAUAUAAAAAGGAAAACAAAAACAGCAAAAAAGCAAAAAAGAUCAACAAAACGACAAAAAGAACGAACAAACAAAGAACCACAAAAAGUUAGCAGUGUGCUGUCCAGGUGGCCUUCAACAGUUUAACACGAUCCAAACACCGGGAGGGGUUGGGGGCGAUCUCUCGAAAGAUUAAACCGUUCCUCUCCGUCCAAACAACCCACCAGAUAGUUGAAAGGAGAGAAAGAGAAAUAAGUCUCUCUUUGGUGUCUUUGAUAUCAAUCGGAUUAGACCAGAGCUCUCUAACAUCGGCGCGGGAUUCAGUCAGAGGCGCCAAACCGUCAACGCUGAGCAGUAAGAAACGAACAAAAAUGCAGGAGUUCAUAAGGUGAUCACAGCUCCCAGUGUUAACGGCACAAAAGAUGCAGAAUUAAGUCGCAAGCCACCCUCGUUUGUGAAGUCUAUCUACAGUGGGGAUUCUCUUCCGGAGUAGUAGACAUAAGAAUACUUUGAUCUUAGCGGGGAUCUUCAGUUUCCAGAUAUGAAGACUUAGCGCAUCCAUCGUACCUAUAUCUGUGAGAAAAAGGUAAAAAGAUUUGACGGAAAACUUUUGAUUAGAGGUCCAAUGCCAGGUGAUGAGGUCCAAAGACUGAGUUGGGCGCAGGGGUUGAAGCAAGCCUAUUAACAACUCCUUUUGUUUGCGGAAUUCCGUAGAGAGAGGUCGUACAGGGCCCCGGCAGAUGUACUGCUACCGCCAACCAUUAAGGCCCCAACAUUGUGCGAUAGUAGACUCUUUAUUCCGAGUGUGACCGUAGAUUUCUGGAAAAAGAGUGCGAAGGGGGGUUUCCCCUAGCCAGAUUGAUGACCAGAUCCUAAUGUCUCUGCCAUUUUUGAGCUGGUAGGUUGCACCACAUUUGAAAAUGUCCCGGCACCGUAGCACGCUUUUCCACCAUUGUGAGAAGGGGUGUGAAAGCUCUGCCCUCGUACAAAGGCCUGCGUCUAAUGUAGUACAGUGUUCUGACCAAUUCGUUCCAAGGUAGGUUAGGUUCGUUGAAGAAGCGCCACCACCACUUCGUAAGUAGCGCCAUGUUCAUAGAAUCCAAAUCCUUGAUUCCUAGUCCUCCAUCCUUUUUACUUUUGCAGACGGAUUUCUAAUUUACUAGACAUGUCCCCCCGGAAAUUUUAGUGCAUCCUCUCCAGAAGAAAGCUCUCCUAAGUGAUUCGAUUUGUCGCAGCACCCACUGAGGAGCUUUAAAGAUGGACAAGUAGUGGAGUGGUAGAUUUGCUAGGACAGAGUUCACGAGUGUAAGUCUACCUCCUUGAGAGAGGAGCUUGGCUUUCCAUCCUUCGAUUCUCUUAUCUAUGCGGUUGACAACUAUCGACCAAUCUUCUUUACGCAGUGUUCUGUAGCAAAGAGGCAGCCCUAGGUAACGGAUUAGGAGACUCCCAACUUUGCAGCCCAGGAUAUUGGCAAGUCUCGGAGCUCUAGAAUUGUUGGAACCCAAGUAGUACAGUUCAGACUUAGCUUUAUUGAUCCGGAGUUCCGGGGCCCAUUCGUAGAUUUUCAUAAGAAUCGUAAGUUCCUUAGUAUGUAUUUUCUGAGCUCGCAGAAAAAAAUUGUGUCGUCAGCAUAUUGGAUUAAAGUAGUUAUACUUAACAAUUCAGUGGUUUAGUGUAUUUUUUACUUUGUUAGCUUGUGGAUUAUAAAAAUUUUUUAAUUUUUCAUUUUAUUAUACAUAAAUUUUUUUUUGAUGAAAUAAAAAUUAAACUAUAAGGGGGCCAAAGUUCAACCUUUUGAACUAUGGGGUAGCAGAAUGAAAAUGCACUAUAUCACAGAACAAUAAUUUGAGUCGUUUGGUUGAAUUAUAAAUAUACUACUGCUACAGAUAUUUUAUAAUAUUUUUUUACAUAUUAUUAAUGUAUUAACAAAUCUAUGUUGUAUAUUAAAGUGCGUGUACAACCUAAUCACGAGACUCCAAAUCAUGCAUGGUGUGCCAAUAUAUAAAGAGGGACACAUGAUGGAUAUCACAAAGCAUCUCUCAUUAAAUUUUAUAAAAUUAGUUUUUUUUUUCUUUUCUUUUUGCUUAUUUAUGAGCCGUUUGUAUCUGUCAAUCCUAGCCGCCCAUCCUAAGUAUCGACGCAAGCAAGCAAAAAAAAAAAAAAAAAAAAAAAAAAAAAAAAAAAAAAAAAAAAUCCAUUUGUUGCCCUUUGAAGGGAUAAAACUUCAAUAGGUAGUUUCACAAUGACAUCUCCUUAAGGAGCCCUUUAUUCAAUGUUGCAUAUUAAUUUUGCUUUCAUUUAGUAGCUCGUUAAAUAUUUUUUAAUACUAAAGUUAAAAAGUUUAAAUGUUUUUAAAAAAUUGUAAUACUUAGAUAGAAAUAAAACUAACACAUAACAGUAAAUCAGGACUCCUUAACAAGGUGUUGUUGGAAAAGUCCCCCACUGUUGUUUUUUCCAUUUCAAGACAUGUUGCUCGGAGUUUGGGCUCAAACCAAGAAUAUGCUUAUUUAAACUAUAUAUUAUUUUAGGUAAACAAGUACAUAACUUAUCUAAACUAUAUAUUAUUUUGAAUCAACUAUCCAAUCUUUUAUAUUUUUGAUUUUACGAGCUAGACUGAUAUACUAUCGGUAGCACAGAGAUCUUCGUGCUACAAAGUUGUUUUCAAUAAUAUAGCUUCUAAAUCGAUGAUCGGCUCUGUUAGACUUGAUCUACACUAAUAAAAGUGUUUGGAAACUAAAUUUCAUAAUUUUUCGACAUCAUUUACCUAUCAAACGAUUAGUCUAAAAAUGAAUGGCUGAAAAUAAAAAUCUAAUAAAAAAUGAUGAUAAAAGACUUGAAUUUAAGAUCAGAGGUAUUGAUCUUACUCUAAAUAGUGAAAAAAAAUUUCUAUAAAAAUUUCAUCAGAUUUGGAUUAUUUUACACCGUCAAAUUCACAAACGCAUCACAUCGAUCAUUAAAAUUAUCAAUUUUGAGACCUUUUGAUCACUAGCUAAAUGAUGUCGAAAAAUUAUAAAAUUUAGUUUUCAAAUACUUUUAAUAGUGUAGAUCAAGUUUAACAGAGCCGAUCAUCGAUUUGAAAGCUGUAUUAUUGAAAACAACUUGGUAGCACGGAGCCCUCCGUGCUACCGGUAGUAUACCAGUCUAGCUCUUAAUUUUACUAUCCAACUUUCCAAAUUGUUUAAGUUACUCAACGAUUCUUCAACUUUAAAAUUUGAAUAUCUCGUUUAUCUUUACAGAUUUAGUUUGUAUACUUAUGCAAUUCUCAUAAUUACAAUUCAUUAAAAUAAAAAAUUAGCUUAAUUUUAAAGUCAAAGUCUCGCUUGACUGACUGAAAUUAAACUAAUUGAAAGGCUGAGUUAGAAAAUCAAAAUUUUAAAAGAUCGAAUAAUAGAUUCAAAUAAAUUUUAUACAUUUUUACCAAUUAUUUUUUCAUUCUUGGACUAUGAGAUGGGGAAUGUUUUGAUCCUCAAAUUUUAUGUAAGGCAAUUUUUGACUUAAAACUUUUAAAAUUAUUACAAUCUACGGUCUAAUUUAAUUGAUUAAAAGAUGAUGUGCUAGUAUUUUAAUUAUUGCCGUCGCGUUAACCACAAUGCUAUUAUUUGCUGUCAAAUCAAGGAUACAUUAUUAUUUAGUCAACUAAAUUACACCGUGGAGUCUUAAAAAUGCAACAAAUUACAGUUUGAGAAAUGCUACAUCAAAAUAUUUUCAACAAUUUCUUUUAUAGAGUCAAAAUAAGAAGCAGAAAUUUGGCGUUGCUAUUAAUGAGGCGUAAAAUCUCAUCGACACUUUCCACCGCAAUAGCAGCUCUAGGUUUUAUGAAAUAUUUUACGAGAGACUAGCGCCGACUAAAGCAAAUGCAAAAGCAAAAAUAGAGUCAAACAAGCUGUUAACAUAUACAUCAACAUUUUAAAUGGUCACACUUCACAAUUAAGUGAAAUAUGAAGGAAUAGCCUAAAAGGUUAAGAAGGUUAAGGGUAUUAGUACUAGACCUGGGAAACGGGCGGGUUGGGUAACCCGCAGGCGGGUUAUUGUACCCGUGGGUUACUUGGGCAUCGGUAAAAUUUACCCGCAAAUUUUUGGGUAGUCAAUAUCUUUACCCAUACCCGCCCGCGGGUGGGCGGGUGGGUAUGCGGGUUACCCGCAAAUUUUUUUUUUUUUUUUUGUUCUUAUAUUUUUUAAAUGCAAAACACAUAUAUAUAAGUUGUAAAAGCGUAAUAUAACUCAUUGUUUAAAAUACCAUAACAUAUAAUAAAAAUAUUUAAAGUCUUAAAGCAAAAAUAUUUCAUAAUAUAAAAGACACGCAAUAAAAAAUUAGGAUUGAAAUUUUUAGGAUGAGUAAAUAAAAAAUAUAUAUUAAUUAAGAAAAUAUAUUUUAUAAUUAAAAAUAUAUGCGCUGGUACCCGCGGGUUACCCAAAAUGCCCACUGCUUAAUGGGUACCCAUCCGGUUUACCCGUAAUUUUUUGGAUUGGAAAAGUUGGUACCCAUACCCAUAAAUUUGUGGGUAACCCGCGGGUUUGGGUCAAGAUUGUCAGGUCUAGUUAGUACUAUAGCGGUUUUAAGAUGGAUAUCAAAGUCAAUCACCAACGGAAAGUAUAAGAUGACUCUCGCCUCAGUCAAAGUCAUUCAGCAAAUAGAGCGUGGCUCCCUAGCUGAUGGUCGUUGUGGGUUGAUCACAUCUCCUCACAAGGUGGGAUAAGGCUAACGAAAUGAGUUUCAUAUCGCCCAGUGUUUAUAUGUGUGCGUAAGUCUGAAGAGGACGUCAGAACUUAAAAAGAGUAAAAAUAUGACUUUUCUAGAAUUUUGGAAUAGUCCUAUAUAUAAAAUAUGAUAGUACUAAACAUUUUAACCCAGCUAUAUCAUUUUGGACGAUAGUCAGGCACAAAAGAUUAAGAGAGUUAAGCGUGUUAAGAUUACAGUAGUUUUAAAAUGGAUGACCUCUUAGGAAGCAGGGUGGAGAUGUAAAGAAAUGAUUUGGUACUUUUUUUUAAAAAAAAGGAAAAACUUCAAAAACCCCCCUGUGGUUUCCAACUUUCUCACUUUAGUACCCCGUGGUUUAAAGUGUAUCAAUUUGCCCCCCUGUGGUUUUGUUUUUAUUUUUUCUAUAGUUUUUUUCUUAAUAUUUCAUUAAAUUAUAUGCAAAAAAACAUCAGAUAUCCAUCUAGAUUUACCGAAUAUUUACUUUAGUACUCUUUAAUUUUAAUUUUGUUACUGAUUUGAGAAAAAAAUAAUAAAAUUGAUAAAAAAAAGAGAAAAACGAAACCACAGGGGGCAAAUUGAUACACUUUAAACCACAGGGUACUAAAGUGAGAAAGUUGGAAACCAGGGGCGGGGGGGGGUUUGAAGUUAUUCCAAAAAAAAAUAAAAAAAUCUUAACCGUUAUUAAAAGAGGGUAAAAUUGUAACUUUAAUACUUAGCAGGUAAAAGGAUUAUUAUUUCAAGGUUAGUUUGGUAAUUAAAUAUACAAAUAUUUAAAGAAACUUUUAAUUAGGUCCCUAAAUUUAUGCAUUAAUUAGCACUAAUUUAGAAAAUUAAUUGAUUAACCAAAUUUAUGCAAUUAUUAGCAUAAUUUAGGAAUCUACUUUAAAUGUUUUAGUGUUUCUCAAAUUAUGCAUUAAUUUAAAUUAAGAAAUUUUAGAAAUAGUUUUAUUUCUAAAUACGAUGAAUUUAAAUUUUAAAAAUUAAAUACUUAAAAUUUAAAAGUGAAAUUUAAAUUAGAGAAAUUUCAUAUUACUAUUUAAAAACUAAAUUUCUACCAAGAUUUAAAAUAGAGUUUAUUCGCACCAGUUUAAAACGUAAUGCAUAAAAACUUAGAGAGUAAGAUUUCUACACUAGAUUUCUCUAGAGGAAUUUCAUAUUACUAUAUUUAAAUUUUAAUUCAAUGAUUUAAAAACUAGAUGAACCGAUUGAUUUGACUGAUCAGACUUUGACAUAGUUCUAUCAAGAAUCUGAUUUUAACCUAUUGAACCGAAUAACAUUAAGAACAAUUUGGAACCGGUAAAGAUAAUAAAUAUUUUAAACAGAAUGAUAAUUUAACUGUUAGCGCUAAUAAAUAUUUUAAAUAUAAUUUUAAACAUAUAAAUUAAAAAGAUUAGAAUUAUUGGUGAGAAAAAAAAUAGUCAGGAAUUUGAAUUCGAAUCUGAUUAACAAUCACAAAACUUAUUUCCGAACUCGGCGGAUUUCAAAAAUUCAUAUCCAAAUUCAAAACUGACCAAUAUUCCGAAACCCAAAACCAAACUUAAACCAGAAGACUAGAAUUCAAAUAAUUAUUUCUGUUUACCAUAUUUCAAAGUAUUUAUAUGAAACUUAAAUUUUUAAAAUAUAAAUUUGAAUAUAAUAUUAAAUUUUAAAUUUAAAAGUGAAAUUUAAAUUAGAGGAAUUUGAUAGUACUAUUUAAAAUUUAAGUUCAAUGAUCAUAUUGUCAAAUCAUUUGAAAUUUUCCUUAUAUGAAAUGCCAAAUUAUGAAAGGAAAGAUAGAGAGAGAAAAAGGAAAUAAAGAAAAAAAAUAAAAAUUUUGAAAAUAUAGUAGAUGUAAAAUAACUAAAUUGUCUAUGUAUUAAAAGACAAAAAUAUCUUUUUUUGAGGUACUUGGUAACCGGCACCUUUUCCAAAGUGACCUGCUAUUGCAGGUCACAAUUUUAAAAAAACUAAAUCUGAGCUGUUGAAUACGCGUGAAUGAACGGUAACCAAAAAAAAAAAGAAGUAUGGAAGCAUUACUCGGAGAUGUAUAUAUUUUAAGUUAUGCGGUGGAAGUUUAUGCCAACCCUUAAUACUUUUUUAUUUUUAAUUUUUGGUAUGGAUCAUAGAGUUCCAGUUAGGCUAGAGUAGUUUGAAAACAUGGUCCAUGAAUUAGGAAACAGGGUGGCUACCAACAAACUAGCUUCCUCUUCCACCAAUUUGCUAGGUUGUCAGUGGAGCCAACAACUCACAAAUUCAUUCCAAAUCUAAAUGUUGUUCAAAUUUAGGGGUUCUUUUUUUCUUUAGCUUCCUAUAAGCAAUUUUUUCAUAAAUGGUCCCAGCAAAUUUAAAUUUACACAUAUUACUGGCUUCUUACAAUGAGAAGUCAUACUGGACUUGGGAAGACCAUGCAGAUAUUUUUAAGUUAAAUAUAAUAAUUCAGCCAUUAUGUUUAAACACGAUGAUCGGAACACUGUAUUUCUAUUUGUACUCUUCACUGUGGUUCAUUAUUAAUUCUUAUUGCCUCCUAAGUCGAAAAAUAUGAUGAUGUUGGCUAUCUUUUUAAGAUACCCAAUAAUCCAAUUGAAAUGAAAAAAAAAUAUAUAAUGAUAUAGGCUAAAUAUGCUAAAGUAAUAUAUACUCGGUAAUCUUAAAUUCAAUUGAGAAUGAGAUUCAUUCCAAAAACUAAUCUUAUUCUCUUGGGAUAGAGUAGGUAUCUCAUAUUAAUUAUCUUGGAUAAUCUUAAACUUUUUAACCCAAUCUUUUAUUUUUCUCCUUGCUUCAUUUGAGAUCCUCUCAAGAUCUUCUCUCUCCGCCGUGCGAGACCAUCUUCCUAUCUCUUCCCUCGACCUAGGGCGCAAAUAUCAUUCUUCUCUCCACCUAGGGCACACAUAUCAAUCUAUCUUCAUGAUAAUCUUAAAUAAUAUGACUAAGCGAUUCAACUCUGGCACGCCAUAUCUCCCAUAAUAGAAUGAGCAGGAAUCAAAAAACUAUUGGACAUUCUUUUAAUUCUUGAAAUCUGUCGUAGGACAAAUCAAACGCACCCUUAUUUCUAGUAAUUUUUAUAAUGCUAAAAAAAUUUUUAUAGCAAAAAUAGUUGCUUUCAGAUUUAUUUUUUUUAUUGCCAAAUAAAUAUUUUAGAUAUAAGAAUUGCAAGUAAUCUAGCGGUAGAAAUUCUAUUUAGAGAAAUAAGAAAAAAAAAAAGCAACAACGAGAAAUGAGAUCUUAUUUUAUAAUUUUCAGGGGAAUUUUUUUGGAUUUUUAUUUCGAUUUUCUUUUGUUGGAUAGAAUUUGGGCAUGUUUAAUGCUGUCAGGCUAAAUGAUUGAAAGAAAGCAUGCAGAAAUAUAAUUCUUUAUUUUUAGUAUUAAAAAACUUAUGUCUUGAUCGUAUCACUGCGAUAUGUAUAAUAUAAUACUUUAUAUAGAAAUAAAUAAAGUAUAUUUUUUUUAAUGUUUUUAUAGAUAACGUGAGUCUUCGCAAGACUUGUCUGUCGCUUAGGAGUAUGUUUGUUUUCGUAUAUCUCGAAGAGUGAACUCGUGAAUGCGAGAAAGUCGUUGACAUCAGCAUUUGUUUCAUCACUGAAAUCGGAAGAUCAUCAGAACUCCUCGUAAUUGUAGAGAAUUUGAUUUUUUCAACUUAUAUGAGAUGAAGAGUCAAAUUAAGUUCGCCAAAUUUACAAGGCUAAGUUUGGUAAUGCAGUGGAAGGUCCAAAAUAAUCUAAAAAUACUACGGUGUGCUUCUCUAGUGAUGAUUGUAACUGUACUUUUAUAAUAUAAAAUAAAAAAUUAAAAUAUAUUUAAUUACUAAUUAAGUUUUAAUUAUUCAUUCUAUGACUUAUCGCUUUCAAAAAGCCGUUUACACGGUGGGAGCUCUGCAGUCUAAGCUUCUUCUGACACGGCAGACUUCCUCCUCUUUUUGAGGACUGCAGGGCGAACUUGGGCAGUCUGCCCUCUCUCGAAAGUCAUCAGUACAAAUGGACUUCCUUAUCCGCCCGGUCAAAGUACAGCUCUAACUUACAAAAACCACCUCUAAUUCAUAACUUUAAUUUCGAAAAUGCCAAAUUAAUAAAUGUGGCGUGCUCCUAGGCGCGCGAAAUGAUAAUAGGAAAAUACUUUUUUAUACUCUCAAAUGAUAGCGUGUGAAUCUUACAUCCUCAACUCAGAGUUGAAAAAAAUUUAAAUAAAUUUUAAUAAAAAUAAAAAAAAUUAAUAUGACAAGUAAAUUAUUAAUGAUUUUAGAAUGCAGUGGGUGUAAGAUGUACAAUCCCACUUUGAGGUGUACUGAUAGUACCGCUCAUGAUAAGAUAUAGGGUUAAUUUCAUACAGAUCCCUACAAACAUAAUGAAUUACAAAUAUAUUACUAUAAAAUUUAAUUUUCAUAUGUUGACUCUACAGAAGUCCUAAUAUUUUUAAAUAUAUCCUUUUGAUUUGUUACCGUUAAAGCACUAUUUAUUUUAUAGGUGAAAUAUGUCCCUCCAAAAGUUUCAAUUGUUAAUUAAAAAGGGAUAAAAUAAUCAAUUCACCUCAUUAACUAACAAAAGUUAAACUUUAUAGGAUUAUAUAUUUGCAAUUCAUUAUAUUUGUAGGGGCUGUAUGAAAUUAAUCCUAAUAUAUAUCGCUAAAUUAUAAAAAAAAACUUCUUAUAAGUAUCUUUUUUUUUAAAAUUUUUCUUCUAAUUUUCAAAAAUUUAUAUUUUAUUCUUCAAUAUUUUAAGUUGUUGCAUUUAGCCAUCCUCCGUCAAGAUUUUAUCACUACUCCGUCAUUUUCUUAUAAUUUAUACCAUUAUUUUUUUCUUAUAAAAGAAAUAAGAAUAAUUUGGUCACUUUGUCCUCUCCAUUCACACCAUACCCUUCUAAAAAUAUUUUUGAAAUUUUAGAAAGGCAAAAUGUAAAUGUUUAAAAGUCAGAAAAAAAAAGUAAAAAAACGAAUAUUUACAGUAGAGUUAUUUGUAAUUUAGCAUAUAUAUAUAGAGUGUACAACUACUAUACUUGCGGAAGUAUUAGUAAAAUUGGUGCAUUUGAUUUUUUGGUUCUUAAAUUAAGAAUUGUAAGGUUAGGAUAAUAGUGAUCCUACUAGGAUUUAGUAGUCUGCUUAGAAAAUUAAUAUUAAUCUAAGAAUCAGAAAUGAUGAAAUGGUUAAUCCAAAGGUUAAAAUAGUCCAGAGUUUGACUACAGUGUUUUUGAAAGCACAACUCAUGUGAUACUUCUAAUUUUUGAACCCUUAAAUCAACCUUUGAUUAUUCUCUAGUCUUUGGAUUAAUACUAUUCCCCUACUAGAGAGGACAACUAAACCUUUAUAGGGGGACUUCUAUCAUUCUAACAUUAUAAUCCUUAAUUCAAAGGCUAAAAAUCCGGAGCACUAACUUUUUAUUUUUUCGAAAUUACAAUAACUCUAAACUAUAUAUAUAUAUAUAUAUAUAUAUAUAUAUAUAUAUAUAUAUAUAUAUGAGUCUGGCUACUAUACUCUUAUGAGUAUAGAGCUUCUUGUACUCACAAGUUUUUGGCCGUUUGAUCUACUCUUUAAUCAUUUUCAUUCGUUAAAUUAUACUACUCAACCAACCACCCAAUCAAUUCUAGGGGGCCCACUAUCAACCUAACCGUAACCACUCUCAUCUUAAUCACACAUUUUUUUAUCCGAAUGGUCGAAAAGUUAUGAGUAUAGAGGGCUCUAUACCAAUAUGAGUAUAGUAGCCCCAACCUAUAUAUAUAUAUAUAUAUAUAGAGAGAGAGAGAGAGAGAGAGAGAGAGGGAGAGUUGAAUAAUUUAUAGUCAAGAGUCCCCUAUGAGGUAAAUUGCAUUGUUACUGCCUGAACUUUUGACGAAUUUUACUUAAACCCCCAGACUCCUAAAAUAGACAUCUAACACGCUAAACUCUAAUAUUUCAUUCAUUUUACCCCUUCCGUCAGUUUCCGGUUAACGGAGUUUGACGGAAAAUUGACGGAAAGGAUAAAUGAACGAAAUAUUAGAGUUUAGGAUGUUAGAUGUCCAUUUUAGGAGUUCGAGGGGUAAAAUGAAACUUCGCCAAAAGUUCAUGAGGUAACAAUGCAAUUUACCCAUUAUAUAUAUAUAUAUAUAUAGAUAUAUAUAUAUAUAUAUAUAUAUAUAUAUAUAUAUAUAUAUAUAUAUAUAUAUAUAUAGAGAGAGAGAGAGAGAGAGAGAGAGAGAGAGAGAGAGAGAGAGAGGCUGGAAUACUAUUGAUAGUAAAAUAUCCUUUUUGCUAUUAAAUUUUUAACCAUUGGAUGAGAAAUUGUAGGGUUAGAAUGAUAUUAGUCCUUUAGGGUUGAGUAGUCCCCACUGGAUUAUAAUAUUUAAUCGAAUGGUUAGAAAUGAUGAAAGAAUUUGAUCCAAAGACUAAAAACUUAAUAGUAAAAAUUUUUGCUAUUAAUAGUAUUUUAGUCCACCACUAUAUAUAUAUAUAUAUGUCACGCCCCGGAUUACACUUUCCCUGGGCGCGCCGACAAAUCCGCCGUAUGCAAAAGAAUUUUUCCUGUAUACGAAGCGAUAGCUGUACCUGUAAACAAACACUACUACGAACAGUAGUAGAGAGCUGCUAGAGAAAACAGAAGCUAAACAAACUGAGUUUCAUAUACAUAGUCCCAAUUAAAAAUACAAAGCUACUCGCACUAGCGAGUUAAGUCCACUAUGUACAUAAACUCGAAACAAAACAUCUACCUGCAGUAGGGGCACCUCUAGCUCAGCACGUCGGGUAGGGCUCUAACUCGCGACGCCCUUGCCUCGAUCCUGAUCCGCGGACAGUGCAGCAGCCGGAACCUGUGGCUCUGCAAAAACAUAGGAACAACUGGGCGUGAGAACUACUGUAAAAACAAGUAGUCCUCAGUGGGUAUCGCCCAAAACAACAUCGGUCCACCCACUAAGUCUACAGAAGAGAGCAAGAAUAGUAGUAAAAUGCAGGAAUAAAGUCUACCGCUAUCAAACACUACACUAUCAUGCUCUACACUAACCAACUGUAGAAAAUAUCCAACCUGACCCAAUCCAAUCGGGACUGUAAGCAUACCCGUCCCCGGGACUGUGAAUACACUCGUCCCUGCCCCGUUGCGACUAUCCAGCUCUAUCCACACCAACUGGUCCGUGGAGAGCGAGUCCAACUGGCAUGAGCGACACCAACGCGAAAGCACAAAGCCUGACUCCGGAGUGGUACUCGUGGGCGCUACCCAACCGAGUAUGCAGCGUAUCUCUGUCGAGCUCAAUCAGGCUCCAACUAGCCAAAGUCAAGUAAACAGGGUCAAAACAGGUCUACAAACCAAACCCACGUGCCCUCGGCACAAUCUGUGACCAAAACAAGAAUCUGGGUCCACCGCUAACCCGAACGGCACCCAACGACCCGAAACAGCCUACACUCUGCUGAAAAAUAAGCUCGGCAUCUCAGCACGAGCGUAAAUGCCUUCUAAACUACCCCAGGUAUCCAUCGCAACGAUACUGCAACGAUACAAUCGAAUCACGGCUCCUAGAGCUAAAUCUGGUAGUUUAAGCAUAUGACGGGUCAAAACGCAGGUUUUCUCCUAAGUCAAAUUUCAAGUCCAACAUGUAUAAUAUAAAUAUUCAUUUCAGCAUGCUUCUACAUUCAUAUUACAUUCAAGAUGCUAAUCGAUGAAUUAAAGCAUGAUAUACAAAAAUCGAACUAUACACGUCGACUAAACAUGCACUUAGGAGCGAAACCGAUGAUACACCCACCUCUAGUGCAAUUCCUGGCAGCAAGAUGGUCUCGGAUCACAAGCAACACUGCUGGAAACACCUCCAAACCAGCAACAAAGCCCCUCAAGAUCUGGAUUUACAAUUCACCCAAAAAUCCAAUAAAAACCAUCAAUUUACCAAAAUUUCAGCACUUAAGCUUAAUUAUCUCAAUUCCAAUGUCAAAACUCACCUAAUGAUCUCCAAAUCGGGUGAGGACAGAUCCAAAUCCAGCAACUACUGAUGGGUGAUCAAUCUCAGGUCCAAAAUCCCACUGCCUACAAAGUUAGCAUCAAGAAAAGCUCAAAAAUUCCAAUUUCAGCUCAAAGUCAACAGCAGUCCAGAAAAACCUCAGUUCGACCAAGCUAACCUCAACCAAAAUCUGCAAUUCAGGGCUUCGUGGAUUCCUCUGGAAGUCUAGAAUCCAGCAAACCAAGUUUCGUCGAAAUCCGACCUUCCUACGUCGCGCACGAGCCAAAACACUGGAGGUCGUCGCUGAAGAACUGCAGAAUCAGCACUCCAUCAAGCUGGAUCAAUGGAAAUUUGAUGCAAAUUGAGGCAAAUCCGAGGGUAGAGAUGCUAAAAGGGACUUCUCUGUGAAGAAGGGAGGAAAAGAGCUCACCAGGGUCACCUUCCAUCUAUUUAUAGGCUGCUGGAGAGAUAAGAUAAGCCCCAAGAGAAAACAGCUGCUAUCCAGUACUCAUGCAGAAACGGGCAUUUCUGGGCGCCCGGAACCAUGUUGUGGGCGACCAGAACAUCCCGACUGCACAAACCGGGCUCCUCGGACUCUCCGCUCGCGGUGUGCUGCGCCCGUAAAUGGCUCCGGCGGAACUCACCUACCGCCCUGCCACGCGUCGAAGCAAGCGAUAUUCACGAGGUGGAAUUUCCGGACCCACAUCUGGGCGCCCAAAACAUGGGAUCCGAAUUGGCUUCCAGUUUCAGUUAAAUUCAACACUCGUUUCUGGGCGACCCUAAAAAUGUUCUGGGCGCCCAAAUCUGGCAAAACUCCAGUUUUGCUUAUUUGAGUGCGCCGAGUCCAAUUCUGCAUCCAAUUCGUGCAGAAUUGACUCCGACUCAGUCCGACACUCUCCAGAGAUGUCGACCAGUCUAUAAUACUGAAGCCAAUCCUAUCCAAAGUUCAGGAACACUACAAUAUAUAUAUAUAUAUAUAUAUAUAUAUAUAUAUAUAUAUAUAUAUAUAUAUAUAUGAAUGAGAUCAUUCCCGUUUUGUCUAACAAAUUCAGAUUGAGGGGGUAGUUACAUAUAAUUGGGGCAGUUAUUUUAGCAAUACUAAUAAAUCUAUCAUUUUUAAUUGGUUUCCCUCCUACUAAAGAUAUAUGUAGUCUGACACUUCCACCUCAACCGCCACUUCGCCAUUAUAAAAGGAAACCUACGUCACCACCCGCUCCCCACAUUUAAAAAAUAAUACUUGUUGCAUAAACCCGGUGUAUCCGUACAUGUCAUACACUAUAUUUAAUAUUUAAUUGUUAAAAUUUAACAAAUAAAUUUUAAUCUAAAAUGGUUUAAAAGCCUAUGUAUCAAAAUAUAACUAGCGUAUUCCAGAGGUUCCAGAGGUUCACAGCCCCACUUGGUGCUGGCACCAAAUUCUCCCUAUCAAUUCCGCCGUUCCCAUUGAAACCUCGUGCACAUUUAUUUACUUUUAUUAUACCCAAACACACUCGUACACACUAAUAAUUAUUUCCGAGAUAGUAGUAUACCCUUAUAAGUUCGGCCGUGAUGUUUGUAAAAGCACCAAAUACUUAAUACUUGUAAAUUUUUUAUUAUUAAAUUUAUUUUUUUGAUCAUUUUUAUUUAUUAAAUUAUACUAUUCAACCAACACCCGCUCAAUCCUAGAGGUCUCGUAUUAUUCUAACCGCAUAUUUUUUAAUCUAAUGGCCAAAAAUUUACCCGCUCCUUGUUCCAUGCCCCUUAUAAAUCAAACUAUAAAUCCUCCUCCUCCAACUGCUUGUUCCGCCGAAUAAGCUCAAAACCCUAAUUCCGAUCGAAAAAAUUUGGGGAAUAAAAAGGAGAAAAAAUUAGAGGAGGAGAUCGAUGGACGAUGAUACCUCGUUCGCCGUCGUCGUCGCCCUCUCCGCCGCGCUCGUAAUCGCCCUCCUCAUCGUGGCCCUCCUCGCCGCCGCCGCCGCCGCCGCCGUCCUCCGCCGCCGCCGCGUCUGGCGGCGCGGCGGCGCGGCGGUCGGUGAGGGCGGUGGUGGCGGCGGCGGAGGAGGAGGGAGAGGAGGAGGAGGAGGUUCGCGCUCGAGCUGGAGCUGCUGCGGCGCCUCCGCCACCCCAACAUCGUGCGCCUCCUCGCCUACUGCGACGAUCGCGGUGAGCAAAUCUAAUCUAAUUAAUAAUAAUUAUUAUAAAUUAAAUUUAAUUUAUUAAUUAAUAUCAUCCAAAAAAAAUUCAAAAAACCAUCCCGUAGUUUCUCACUUUUUUAUUUUAGUACCCUAUGGUUUAAAGUAUAUUAUUUUCGCAUUCCUGUAAUUUUUUUUUUUUUAUCCAUUUCAUUAUUUUUUUUUCCGUUAUAUCAGUGGCAAAGAUAAAACUAGAACUCGCCUACUGCGACGAUCGCGGUGAGCAAAUCUAAUUAAUAAUAAUAAUUAAAAAUAAUUUUAAUUAAUUAAUUAAUAUUAUUUUUUUGAAAAAAAAAAAAACUUUAAAUACCACCCCGUUGUUUCGGAUUUUCUCCCUUCAAUACUCUAUGAUUUGAAGUGUGUCACUUUUAUACUCCAUGGUAAAAAACGUAUCACUUUCGUAUCCCGUGAUUUUAUUUUUUUUCUUUUUGUUAUUCCUUUUAUUAUUUUUCUGUUUAAUCAGUGACAAUUAAAAUUAAAAAGUACGAAAGUGAAUAUUUGAUAAACUAUAAGUGAGUAUCUGAAAUAUUUUUUUUGUAUAUAAUUUAACGAAAAAUUAACAAAUAAUGAAAAAAAAAACUCUAAAAUAUUAAAUUAAUAUAUUUUAAAUCACAUGAUAUUAAAGUAAAAAAGUAAAAAAAUAAAAAAAUCAUUGAAGUUCACCCUUAAAAAAAAUAGAAGCAAAUUUGACUUGGUCGUUUCGCUCAUUGAUUCUCGUCACCUCCUCUUACCGGGGGACGUUCGGUUCAACGUUAAUCUCUGAAAAUAAUUUUCCGUGAAAAUAAGUUUUCAAUGAAAAAAUUUUCGUUCUGUAGUUUGAAUUGUUUGCUUUGUAGAAAAAAAUAUUUUUUCAUCAAUUUUUAUUUGGUUGAAAAAAAUUCACAUUUAUUUUGUUCGGAGAAAAAAAAUGAAUGAAAAAAAUUUUAUGUAGCUUAAAUUUUUGUUUUUCGUUGAAAACAACGAAAAACGGAAACUUCAAUAUUUUAUAUUUUUAUAAAAAUAUUUUUACGUCAAAUCAAAUAAAUAAAAAAAUAUUUUACAUAUCAAAAAUAAUUUUUUAAUUCAUUUUAUGAGGUUUUUUUAAUUAUUUUCUAAAAAAAAAGAAUUUUAAAACUAACUAAAUUAAGUAGGGUUUUUUUUUGUGUCCUUUUUGACUGAAAAUUUUGAAUUUCUAUAUAUUGUCGUUAAAAUUUAAAUUUGUAAACUUAGGCUUGUCAAAAAAAAAUUUUACUACCAUAAACAGCAGUCCUGAGCAAAAAAUGCUAUCACUGAUAUACGGUUCUGAUUAAAUGUCUAAAUAUUUUCAUAAUUUUUUUGAAAAAUUUAUAUAUUUGAUAGAUAAACAAUAUAAUGAAAUAUUUAAAAUUAGAUACUAUAUUCGGUUUAGAAAUUAUUUUUUGGAUAAGAUAAAUCACUUUUUUUUGUAAAAUAUGUUAUUUUACCGAAUCAUAAUUAUAAAAAAAUUUUAAGAGGAAAAAAUCAAAGUUUUAAUCACGCUAAAAAUUUUUAUACGGAAUAAAUUUUUUUGAAUUAUUUAUUUUGAUUUUCAAACAUCACCUUUAAGAGUUUAAAAUCAUCUUUUAGAUUUUUUUUUUUUUUUUUUUGGUACCAACAAAACUUUUUAAAACUAGUGAGUAAAUAUGAGAAAUUGGAUGAUUACAGUGUAAAAUUCAUAUACUAUAUAUAUAUAGUUGGUCAUGUCUUAGUUGGAGUGUGAUAUUUAUUCCACUAGUAUUAAUAACUUACAAUAACACUAAUAAUUUAUUGAGUUCUACAUUAUUAAAGCUAAAAUGUAUAAGUACCUUGUUAUUAGUGUUAGAGCUUCGAAUUUUUAUAUUUUUUAUCCAUGUAAUGUGAGACUAUUGAAUCGUCGUAAUUACUUUCUAAUAUAAAAAAAUUAUUUCAGAUUAUCUAUGUUUUUUAAAAUUACUCUGAUUUUUCGCCAUGGGAUCAUUGUACCAUGUUAAUUAUUAUAACAAUUCAAUUCAAAAAAUAUAAAGUCACACAGUAUAUUUAAAUUUUACUAUAACUAUAAUUACAGUACAGUAAUAACCAUGUGCAUGCUCCGAUUUUCGGCACACUAAACGUGAGAUACUUCCGUCCACCGUCCAUCACGUAAGUAAAUCGAGGUUUGAAAAUAAUGGACGGUAGAUAAGACCGUCUCGUGUUCAAAAUGAGACAGUUUCUUCGACUGUUCAUCACGUAAAUCGGCACGAAUUUCAAAGUUCAUGGACGACAGAUAAGACGGUCUUACAUUUGGGACAACACUAUUGGCUAUUUAUUAUUGAGCUAAAUUAGGUCAAAUAUCGUACCCCAACAAUAAGCCUAAGUUGAGUUAGAUGAGACUAAUAAAUUAAGUGGAGGUGCGGUCUACAAGUCAGGUCGAAGACUGCGAGCGCUUUCUAUCAAUACGUGAUUUUGGAAUAGUUGAUUAACGCUUACCAUCCACAAACCCUUAUCUUGCAGAGUUUGGGUCAAAUAGAUCAUCGGCACGAAUUUCAACGGCAUAUAAGACGGUCUUACAUUUGGGUGGUCAACACUAUUGGCUAUUUAUUAUUGGGCUCAAAUAGAUCAAAUAUUCUGUUCCAUAACAAUAAGCUCAGGAAACUAAUAACUUGAGUCGGAUGAGCCUAAAAAAUUCAGAAGGUGCAGUUCACAAAAAAUCUAACGGUAAAAUCUUUAACAAUAAACCUAAUGUUCAGAUUGGUUGAGUCAGGUCGAAGAAGCUCGUGAGCACUGUGGUACGAUAAGUGUUUAACAAUAAGCCUAAUGUUCAGAUUGGAUUGGUUGAGUCAGGUCGAAGAAGUCUGUGAGCACUGUGGUACGAUGAGUGCGCUCUUUCUAUGGGUGCUUGGAAUAGUUGGUUAGCGCUUACGAUGAACAAACUCUUGCCUUGGUUGCAGAGGAGGAGGGGGCUCUGGUGUUGGAGUACGCCCCGAACGGCACCCUCCCCCCGCGGCUUCAGCGGCGCCGCUCCCGUGGGCGGCGCGGACGCGGAUCCUCUACGACGUCGCGGGCGCCCUCGCCCACCUCCACUCCGCAUCCGCAUCCGCAUCCGGCGCCGUCGUCGUCGUCCACGGCGACGUGACCUCCUCGAACGUCCUCCUCGGCCCCCUCCCCCGCCUCCGCCCCCUCCUCUGCGACUUCGGCUCCGCCCGCCUCGGCUUCUCCGCCUCCCUCUCCCCCUCCCCCUCCCUCUCCGUCGCCGUCGCCUCCCCCGGCUACGCCGACCCCUUCUUCCUCCGCACCGGCAUCCUCUCCAAGAGCUCCGACGUCUACGCCUUCGGCGUCCUCCUCCUCGAGACCCUCACCGGCCGCCCCGCCGUCGGAUCCGACGGCCGCAACCUCACGGCCGAGAUCGCGCCGGCGAUCGCCGCGCCGCCCGCCGAGGGCCUGCUCGAUCCGCGGCUGCGCGGGCGCCCGGGGUUCGACGCCGCCGCCGCCGAGGCCGAGGCGGCGGCGGCGGCGGAGAUCGCCGGCGCGCGCUGCGUCGGGGCGCAGCCGAGCCUGCGCCCGUCCAUGGCCGAUGUGCGCGCGCUCAUCGGGGAGCGGAUGCCGUCCGCGAUCUCCGCCGCCGAUCCCGGAUCGGACGGCGAGAAGAAGAUGGCGGAGCCGUGAGCAGGAGGAGGAUGCCGAUGAUCGGUGGACUCGGCGCACCGCGUAGGCCGUGGACCGCAUGUUUGGUGGCGCAAAAAAGAAAUUGUCUUCGGCUGGUGCAUGGCUAACGUGGCGGACCCGGUGCAGCGUAAAACUGGGAGUGCUUGGUUGUUAUUAACCAUUACUAUAUUGACACCUCUAAUUACCAUUAUGUGCAUAGGUAUACGGAGUAGAGUUACUAUAUUAUCAAAAGUUUCUGACUUUUUGGCUCUUAGAUUAAUUUUUUUUGAUCAUUUUUAGCUGUUGAAUUAAUAUUAUAAUCCUGUGGGGACCACUCAAUUCUAGGGGUACUACUUAAUCAUAGAAAUGACCGUAAUCAUUCCAAACGUAAAAUUUUUUAUCCAAAAGUCAAAAAGUCAGAAGUAUCAAAUCCUCUAUACUUCUAAUAAUAUAGUAGCUCUACACUAUAUAUAUAUAUAUAUAUAUAUAUAUAUAUAUAUAUAUUUAGGCUGAAAUACUAUUAAUAGUAAAAUGAUCUUUUUGCUAUCAAAUUUUUAACCCUUGGACGAAAAAUUGUAAGGUCAGAAUGAUAUUAGUCGGUUAGAGUUGAGUGAUCCCCCUAGGGUUGAGUGGUCCCCAUUGGGUUAUAGUAUUUAAUCCAAUGGUUAGAAUAAUGAAAAAGUUGAUCCAAAGGCUAAAAAACUGGUAGCAACAAUGAGAUUUUGCUAUUAAUAGUAGUCCAGUCUAACUCAUAUUCAUAUAUAUAUAUAUAUAUAUAUAUAUAUAUAUAUAUAUAUAUAUAUAUAUUAAAAUUCUGUGAAUAUAUAUAUAUAUUUUUUUUUGGAAUUGAUAUUGUGAGAACUAGUUUUGAUAUUGUCAAAGUAUAUCGGAAUAGAUAUACAGUAAACAGUAUCAAAAAUAGCUUUAUGCAAUAUCAAUUUCUUUUUUUUUUCUCAUUUUCUUCUUUUUUUUUUUAUAUAUAUAUAAUAAAAUAACUAUUGACUUAGCUCGAGUCGACAUCUAUGAGGUCGGUGCUCAAUCUACAUCUGUACUAUUACAAAAUAGGACUUGUCUACUUAUAGCUUCUUGAGUUGAGAACAAAAAAAAGUUAGUGUACAUAACAUCUGAAUAUCUGAGAAUUUCAGAAUAGGAGUCUAAAUAUAUUUCCAUGAGAAUGCUGGUCUUGUGGGUUUGCCAAUGUAUGAACAUUUGUAAUACAAACUGUUUUUAAUUGAUUUUAAGUUCAAUAAUUCUGUUCUCUAUUUUGAGAAUCUUGUUACUGGAUAAUGAAUAUAUAUAUAUAUAUAUAUUUAUAUAGUCCGCCUACUAUGCUAUCAAUAAUAUCAAGUACUUGGUGCUACUAAAUUUUUCGCUGUUAGAUCUACCAUUUUGAUCAUUUUCACUCUUUACAUUAUACUAUUCCAUCAACCACUCACUCAAUCCUAAGGGACCACUAUCAUUCUAACCAAAUAUUCUUUCAUCCAAGAACAAAAAUCUAAUAAUAUCAAUGACUUUGUGCUAUUAAUAGUAUUCUAUUAUAAUUAUAGAGAGAGAGAGAGAGAGAAAGAGAGAGAGAGUUGAGCUCAUGUAUUUUUUGAAAUAUAGGAGCUGAACAUGUUUGUAAUUUUUUAACCGUCAAGUCGCUUCAAGAUCUAUGUAGUGCUAAUAUAAAAAACUUAAUAAGACACAUACUUAAUAGUACUGUACUAAUCUUGAGACGAUUCGACUGUUAAAAAGUCACAAGUAUAAAUACUCGUUUUUUAAAAUGCAGAAGAUCAAUUCUCUCUCUCUCUUUAUGUAGUUUUAAAAAAUAGUAAAACAUUAAAAGUAUUGUAAAUUACUUUUAACGAUAUAAAUUAUUAGUCUGAGUGCUCGGUCGUCAAAAAUAAUUGAUAGCAUAAGUGUUUUGUUGUCGAAAAUAAUUGAUAGCACGAAAGCUUGCGUACUUCUGAUAAGACAGAGACUUGAUUUGACGGUUCAACUUUUGGAUACCUAAUGAUUGAUUAGAUAUGCUAAAAGUGGUCCUAAAGCGUAAGUUAAUUUAAUGUUCUCAUGACUCAUCAGUCAUGUCCUUAGCUUCUUGAUGAGUGUAGUCACUUGAAGUUUGGAGUGAUCCUAAUUAAAAGAUUUGUACAUUAUUAAAUCCUGUUUGGUUGGAAGAGAAUAAAUAUUAGCAUAAUAAUUUUAUUUUUAUUUAUUAUUUUGAAAUAGUUAGAAAUAAAAAUAAAAUUAUGUUUGGUUUAUAAUACUGCUAUUCUCAGGAAUAAUUUAAAUUGAAUUUGGUUAAAUUUAUGAAAUAGUAGAGAAUGGUGAAAAAUAAUGGUGGUUGAAUUUGAUAUAAAAUAUAAUUUAAUAAAAGUAAUUUAUUAUAAAAUAUGAUUAAGUAAAUUUUUUUUUUUUUCAAAUUCUACUACAAUAUAAAUAUAAUAAAAAUAAUUUAUUAUCAUAUUUAAGUAUAGUUUAUUUUAUUUGCAAUAUUUAAGUACAAAUAAUAUGUAUUUAUAUAGUACAAUUAAUAAUUUUAUAAUAAUAAUAAUAAUAAUAAUAAUAAUAAUUUAUCAUAAUAUAUAAUAUAUUGUGUCUACAUAAUUUAAUUUAAUUUAAUUCAAUUUAUAAUAUUAAUAAAGUUUUGAAUUAAAAUUUAGAAUAGUACUAUUUUACCAAAAAGAUGGAAUAGUUUAUUCCAAACUAUUCCGAAAUAACUAGAAAAUAGCUAUGUUUGACCGGGAUAUUUUAUUCCGGCCAAAAAUUGUUCUCUUUGGCGGAAUAGUAGUAAUAACUUUCGUCGAGGGAUUAAUACCAUUAUCCAAUCUCUUGAUUAACAGUUACAUAUAAAUUUAUGGAAAAACUUCAAACACCACCCAUGUGGUUUCACACUUUCUCACUUUAGUACCCUGCAUUUUAAAGUGUAUCAUUUUCGUACCCUGUGGUUUUAUCUUUCUUUUUUUGUUAUCAAUUUCACUAAUUUUUUAUUAAUUUUUUUCAUUAAAUCAGUGACAAAGUUAAAACUAAAAUGUAUUAAAUUGAAUAUUUGAUAAACCAUAGGUAGGGUAUCUGAAGUUUUUUGUAUAUGAUUUAACGAAAAGUUAAUGGAGGGGCUGAGGGUACUAAAUUGAUACACUUUAAAUCAUAGGAUACUGAAGUGAGAAAGUACAAAACCACAAGGAUGGGGCUUUUUUUGCAAAUAGCCCCCUGACAAAUUUUAUUUAUAAAAAUAGCCCCGUCCAAAAAUUAUUUGCAAAAAUGGCCCUGCCCCUGCCACGCCAGCGCCACGUCACCGCCACGCGGGCAGGACGGGCCCAGGUGUUUAAGUUGAACACGGUGAACCAUUCACCGUGUUCAAUACAAAAUUUUUGUAUUGGACACGGUGAAUGAUUCACCGUGUCCAAUACAAAUAUCCCAAUAAUGAGUAAGUUGGAGGUAUUUGUAUUAGACACGGUGAAUCAUUCACCGUGUCCAAUACAAAUUAUUGGACACGGUGAAUGAUUCACCGUGUCCAAUACAAAUAUUUCGAUCUUAGCUAUUUUGUAUUAGAUACGGUAAAUCAUUCACCGUGUCCAAUACAAAAACUUUGUAUUGAACACGGUGAAUGGUUCACCGUGUCCAAUACAAAAACUUUGUAUUGAACACGGUGAAUGGUUCACCGUGUUCAACUUAACCAUCUAGUCCAGCCCCGCCCGCGUGGCGCUGACGUGGCGCUUGCGUGGCGGGGCCAGGACUAUUUUUGCAAAUAAAUUUUUGACAUGACCAAUUUUAAAAAAAAAAUUUGUAAGGGGGCUAUUUGCAAAAAAAGCCCACAAGGAUGGUAUUCGAACUUUAUCCUAAAUUUAUUUGAGACUGUUUGGCAAGGCUUCUCGGACGAUUUCGCUACAGAAUAGUAGUUUGCAAUUUGAAUACCGGCGAAAUACUUUCCAACUUUUUUCGAUACCUAAAAUUUAUAACGAAGAACGGAAAAUAAGCUUCUAAAACUGAGGGAGGUUUACACAGCUAAAGCUCUUUCGAUUCCUCAAACAACUUCACUAAAUAGCAUAUUUUCAUCAAUCUGUCCAAACAAAUCAUACGCAUUCGCGAGUUUGAUCGGUUCAGAUUAUAGCCUCUAUCGCGGAAUUCAACUCAGAUGUUGUUUUGACAUCAUUGGCCUGUUUGUUUUACCGACGGUGAAGUGCAGGUUGAAAUGAAAUAGACUUUCGAUAAACUAGAGUUUUUAGGUAAAAAUUAUUUUUCUUUCCCUGUUUGUUUGUAUAGUUGCAAAAUUAAAGUUCUUCAAAUUUACUAUUUGUUUAGCAGAGAGUAAAAAAUGUAAAAGUUGAAAGUACGAAAUCAGUAAAUGAGCAAAAUAUGCUGUUGUUACUAGAAGUACUUCAUACAAAUGUGUACAUCUCUAUGUUGAAAAUGAUAAGUUUUUUGUGCUGAAUAAAAAAAGAACUAGGAGCUUACACAAUUAUAAAAGAUAUAUCCUCAUCUUAACCUAUCGACUUAAUCUUUUGGGUAUUUUGUAUCUUUUAUCACUCUAGGCAUUAUAUUAUAAUCGCUCAAGAAUUGUUCAAGCCUCAACCUAUUUUAGAUUGAAAUUUUUGUAACAACCUAUUUAAGAUUGAAAUUUUUGUAACUACCUGACCCACUAACAAUGAUAAAUCGUUGGGCCUAAACUAUCAGCUGAAAAUAAUUAAGCCCAGCUAUUAAUACUAGUAUGCCUGUCACUUAUAAACUCAUUACACUCUCCCACAUUAUCCGAGGUGGGACUAUUGGGAUGUGUUUGUCACUUAUAAAUUCAUUACACUUUUCCACAUUAUCCGAGAUGGGAUUAUCCAUUACACUUUUCCACAUUAUCCGAGAUGGGAUUAUCGGAAUGUCACGUACUCCCCUCGUUUAGGCCCUGACAUUUUCGUCAGCCCGGCCCAAUCAUACAUAUAGUCCCAGAUUCACCAGGUGAUGUGAGAUCGAUCUCAUACUUUCGGUUGAUUAUCAGGCUCUGAUACUAAAUGUAACGAUUCGAACUGCUAGCAAUAAUAACUCGUUGGACCCAAACUAUCAGCCCAAAAUGCUUAAAACUUAAUUAUUAUAACUAGUGUGUCCGUCACUUAUAGAACCAUUACACUCUCCUAUAUUAUCCGAUGUAGGACUAUUAGGAUGCCACAAUUUUAAUUCAAAAUUUUUCUCACGGAAAAAGAAAAUUCUUUUACCAAACAGUGUCUUAGGGUUUGAAUCCCAACAUGUAGAAGAAUGAAGAUACCCUACUAUUAAGAAAAAUAAGGUUCCCUGCUGACCACUUAACUACAAUAGCAGAACAUUAGCAAAUGGGAAUUGAUAUUUUCAGUGCUAAUUUUGAUAUUGUCGGAGCAAAAAAAUUUAAAUCGUGACUAGAUAUAAUUUUGAUAUUGUUUUAGCCAGAAAAUCUAAAUCAUUAAUAGAUAUAAUGAAUGCGCUUUGGCAAUAUCAAAUUUAGUUAUGAAAAUAUCAAUUUCCUAAAUAGACCAUUAUUGUAGUGUCUGCUUUCAAUACUAGUCAUUCCCAAUAGAGUAUUUGACCAACAAACAAAAUAAAUAAAUAAAUAAAUAAAUAAUUUUCACAAUAGUGGAAAUCACAAAUGAGACUGAUAACACCAACAAUAAGCUUAUAGACCAUGGCCUUAGAAAUACUUUGCUAUUAAUAGCACUCUAGCCUAGUUCUCUAGAGAUUGAAACCACACAAAGAAUAUACCUUCAUUAGGGUUGUCAACGAGCUGAACAUGAGUGAGCUAGGGCCGGCCCAUGUUCGCUCAUUCAUUAAAUGAACCGAACACGAUUUGGCUCAUUAAAAAUAUCAAGUUGAAAAAUUUAGCUGGUGUUGUUCUGCUUGCUUAUUAACAAGCUGAACAUGAGCUAGCUCGUAAGCAAACAUGUUAGAUUGUCAACUCUGCUACUAGGUAAAAAAUUGAAAGAAAAAUAGAAAAUUUGAAUCUUAAUUUAAUAGUUGAAAUCCAUAAAAUAUAGAUCUCCUUACAUUUGAGUUGGCCUAAAAUCCAAACAGUAAAAUUUGUUAUUGUAUGUCGAGCCAACCCUAACUCAUGUUCGGCUCGUUAAGAUUUCAAGCUAAAAGAUUUAGUUCGUGCUCGGCUUAUUUAUAAACUAUCAAACAAUCUCGAGCUCAUUUUGAGCCGAACACAAGCCAACUAGCAAACAGCCAGCUAGAUUGUCGGCCCUAACUGUCACGCCCCAAACCCGAGACGUAACAGACGCCGCAUACUUGCUAAACUAGCAAAUAUACAAGACUACCGAAUCAGACGGAAACUAGCAAAAAGGAGAUUACCAAUUUUUCCACUAAAUCCAAAGAAUCACAAGGUGAGACUAAGAAAUUAAAUUUUAACUAAAAUCAAACGGAAUUCUAACAUCUAUAGAACUAAGCUUACUACGAAUCACAAGAGAGAUUCGGUCUACAAAAUACUAAAAGUAACAAAAGUGGGUACGAAGAAAUAACGAAACAAAAAUAGAUAACAACGAUCAUCUACGUAGUCCAAAAAUUCACAUCCGAAAAUACUAGAUGUAAAAACAAAAGGGAUUAAAAUCAAAACUAGCUACGUCUAACGUUAACACGGUCUCAGCCCCGCCCGUAAAAUCAGUCUCGGUACCUGGGUAAGCAACCAUACACCACAUUAGUCGGAUUAAGCAUAUAAUACAAAUAAAUAAUUGAAUACAAAAAAUUAAUUCAAGCGACUGGUUUUUUAAUUUGCAAAAUUUCAGAAAACAAGAAUUAUCAAAUUUAAAAUUCAGAUCAUAUUGAAACUAUAACUUUACAAAGCAUUUCUUUAAGUCUCCGGCAACUAACUAUAUUAUAUGAUCCAUUGGCGAGAUCCAGAGGCACCCGAAGGCACAAACAAAACAGAGGCACCCGAAGGCGCAAAUAGAACAGAGGCACCGAAGGUGCAUGUACAAAACAGAGGCACCCGUAGGCGCAAACAAAACAGACGCGCGAAUAGGCGCAGGCACCCGAAGGCGCAAUAUAAAGACGAAGCUCGCUUCUAUAACAAAAUACAUGUCGACAUGGCCAAUAUUAGUAUAGCAGAAUACCAAGAGACAUUAUAAUUUAAAAUUAUCCAGUCACUAACUUAUAGAACAGAUUAUUAAAUUUCAAAAUUUUCUGUUAAAAGAAUCUUUCAAUCAUAGUUGAAACUCAGUUUACAGAAAUAUUUAAUAUACGUUUAACCCUUAAUUUUAAAAUCUACAAAAUAAGGAUUUUUACACAAUCAAAGUAUUUCCUAAAUUAUUUUACGAAAAACUAACGGGUGUCCGGUUACUUACCUCAAAAGCAGCUUCUAAGCUAAGAAGCUAUCUAGUCGAAAAUUGCACGAAAUCAAUCAUCGGAACCUAAAAUAGAGAUAUACGAUUCUCUAUAAGCUAUUUAAAAUAAACUUACAAAGAGAACAUAUAUACAUUUAGAAAGCAAGCUUAUACAAAAAUUUGAAUUCGGAUAGACUCACAUAGGUCGACAAUGUCGGCUACGAAUGCAUGCAAAAAGGUCAAGACGAAGCACGAAAGAGAUUUAGAAUAAUACAUUCGACGAAACUCAAAUUAACAAUCAAGAGGAUGAUGAGUUCCAAAUAUUAAAGUUUUCAAAGAAGCAAGAUAACAUGAAUGAAGUUUUAGAUAAUAAACGAAGGAUCUAAUGCUCAAAAGAGGGUUUUCAGAUGUUGAAACGUUGAUAUGCAAAUCAAUAAUUAGAUAGAAUCAAGAUGGGAACAAAAAUAAUAUAUGCCUUAUUUUAGGCAUUUUGUCGAACAUAUAGCGGACAUUCCAAUAAGUGUGUACAAUAUGUGAAGUUUUAUGCAACUAGAUCAUACAGAAGAUACAAGAUAUGAAAUUAAACGGUUAGAAUGACGAAGAUUAGAUAUAACGAAAUCAGAUUUUGAUGGUUUCAAAUUUCAAUCAUCAUGAGGCGAGUAUUCAAAAUAAUAAUAAAACAAUGAACAAAGAGGUUGGAUGAUCACAAGAUUCGAUAUAGAGGUAAAAUGAGGGAAAGAAAAAAACCUUCUCGAAAAUGGUGAAGAUGACGGCAGGAUGCCGUCGAUAGCGAACCAAAAAUAACGGCCAAAGAAGAUUGCGGCGGAGGCGGCUACGGAUGAUGGCGACGAUCGGAUGGCGUCGCGCGCGCACGUGCGAAACGGCAGAGGUCGUACGGACGCGGUGAGGAGGAGAGAGAAAGAGUCGUGCGGGAGGGGAAAAGAGAGAUCGAUCGGGUGGGGUUGGCUAGGGAAAAUUAAUUAAAUUAGGUACUAAUUAGGUAACAAUAUGCCACCGAGUCCCUCGAAGAUUGGAAAUUACGAAAAGAUCCAAACUUAAUUAGAUAGGAGUCAAAACAAAAGGUUUAAAAGUAUGGGGUGUUACAUUCUCCCCUUCUAAAAGAAGUUUAAUUCUCUAAACUUAACAUAUCUUAGCUCUCGAAGGACUAAGGAUACUUCAUUCUCAUUUACUCCUCGAGCUCCUAAGUAGCUUCCCGCUCAGAAUGGUUGUUCCACUGAACUACUAGCAUAAAUCAAGAUAUUAUCUACUCAGACAAUACUCCUACAAAUGCGGUCAAUCACAAGCUUCUCCCCAAAAGGCGCCCGACACAAAAAUAUAAACAAAGGUUUCGGAGGUUAACAAAUGAUUUCGAACAAAAGCAAAAGAGAUAAAGGAAUAUGUAGCUCCAGAAUCAAAGAGAACACGAGCAAAAACAAAAGCCACGGGAAGAAUACCACGGACUACAGCAUUAGAUGCCUGGACAUCCUGCUGGGAGAGCCUGAACAUAACCCUGCGUCCGAGGUCUUCCACCUCUGGACUGAUCGGUAGAAGGGGCAUGAUCACGAUCGGCUGGAGCAAUAGAUUUCUCCUGAGGCUUGGUGCUACAAGGUAAAAUUUCCUUACAUUUGACACAUACCAAUCAUUCUCAAUUCCCAAAUUGGCUCUAAUCAAAUUACUCACUUCAAAUAAAAUAAUUGCAUUACAUAUUUGAAUAAUCUUUCCUAUACACUGAAUCUGUAGUUUAGAACACAACACAAAAACAAAAUAAGUGAUCCAUCUGAAGUUAAGAUCAAGCCCAUCAAAAUUCAGAUGAUUUAAAUCAUAUACCAAAAGAAACACAAUUUAGAAGUUACAAUAUCUCAAACAGCUUCAAGAAACACUCCAACAACUGCAUGAAUCAACAGGAAAUAAAUGUUUCCUUCGAAAGCUAGACCAUGAACCUAGGGAUGCCAAUGGGUUGGAGUUCGGACGGAUUUUGGUAAACCCGAACCCGAACCCGAAAGCCAAAUCCAAACUCGACGGAUUUUGAAAAUCCAUAUUCAAAACUAAACCCGACCAACAACCUGAAACCCGAACCUGAACUCGGAACCCCAGGCCCAAAACAAUUAUUUCUAUUUACCUCAAUAUUUCAAAACCUAUUAUAAUAAAAUGUAAAUUUUCAUAAUGCAAAUUCAAAUGUAACAUCAAACAUAUCUAUAUAUUAUAUAUUGUAAAAUCUAUUCUGAUUCAAAUCGGGUUUAGGUUCGGAUUCGGGUUCGGGUCUGUUAUAGACAAAAUCUAUAUCUGAAUCUAAAUCCAUGAGGUUUUCAUUUUUUAUACCCAUAUCAAAAACCUUUAGUAUUCGUAUAAACCAGCCCUGUUCAGGUUUGGGUUCCGAUUCGGAUAAAAUUUUUGGUAUUAGUACCCAUUGACAUCCCCACAGGAACCACUAAGUUCACACCAUUUAUUUAAUUUAUUUUCCAAAUACAAUCGUAGGGAUAAGACUUUGACAAAUCCAUGUAAAAAAGAUACUAAAUUCGACAUAACACUCAAUAGACUAGGAAAACCGGCGAAAGAAACAACAAAAUCUUCAGUCCAACUAUUUGCGGUCGGCUAUAUGGAUCCUGGUUCUUCAUUUAUCAUCACCAAGAGCAGGUAUAAAGCAAAAUUACCAUCAAAUCCCGGAGUUUUACCACUAAGAGAGUUUCAAUAUGAUGCCCAAGCCGGUUUUCCGGAACUUAAAUCUCGGAACAAACUGGGAGGUGGUGGUGCAGGUGAAGUGUGAUCAUUGAACAAACCAAGUUGUUCAAUGAGGCUGUUGAGCAUCACACCAGCCACAUAGGAGAGACCCGAUGCCGUUACGCCGAGGCUGAGGUAGUACAGCAUUGUCGCAAUGUACUUCCUCGGUAGCCUAAUGUGGGCCUUUCCGAUCGCAAGUAGAGCAACGCAUAGAAGAGAUGCCGCGGCGACGGCUAUGAGCUUGUGUUCCGUGUUGCUGCUCUUCCUGAAUGAGAAACCGUACACUAGAGGCGGUAAUGUCCCAACAAUUAUGUACGAUAGGACAGCGACGAUUAAAUGACGAACGAAAUGGGGCCUCUUUCCGAGUGUAUCACGGUAGCGAUCGAAAUCAUUCUGAAUUAAAUGAUCAGUAGCCUCGUCGUGCUCCUUUCUCAGUUCAAAAAUCUGUAGGGCAAAAAAGUACUUAGUUCGGAGCUACAAAUAUAAGCCACACAAACUUAGCAAAGGAAUGAUAGAGCAAUUGCACCUGAAGGGGUGCUGGUGCUUGGAUUAACGUAAUUGUAGUUCGGUUGAAAAUCAAGUGCAGUGAGAGUAAUAUAUUGGUCUUACCAUCAACUAGGAUAAUCUUGGGAGGUUUGCUGUCUGGAUCUAGGCUAGAUUUUGGGUCUUUCUACGAAGAUGACUUCAGACAAUUUCAAAGGGAAUUUGUUUUCGGAAAUUUAAGCCUGUUGCUUCCUAACGGACUUCUCGAUGUUUUAAUGACGGAUGGCAAAACUAAUGUCUCUACCGUUAAUAAACUUGAUUUACACCUGAAUUGCAGCUUCAUCAAUCCAAACGCUCCCCUAAAAUGAAGUAAUGGUUGACAAUGCUUUUCUAACUUGUCCUUCAGCUAAAACUAGUUUGGCAACAUAAUCAUUGCUAUCUCAGCUUCAGCUUUUUUAUGGUUCAACCCGAGCACGACAAUUAGUUAAGGAGGGUAGAAAUGAAAAUCAACUUAAAUUUCUCCUAGAAUAGUUCAAACAUAUGCGCAAGUAAAAAGCUCGGAGCCUAGCUCAAGAAGCUUUUUUAAGUUCUAUAACAAGUAUUAUUUUGUUCAAGCACGGGUCAAAAUAAUAAAUAAAGAAAAAGGCGACUUACAUUAUGGACAAUAAGAAACAAUCCACUGAUAAGAUUUGCCACUGCCAGAACAAAAAUAUUCACUGCAGGAAAAGGGAGAAAUCACAGUUAAGGGAAGUCAAGUUAAAUAAAAGAAAGUGAGGACCACCUUUGUCUUCUAACAUACAAUAACUACUCUUACUCAUUGUCUAACAAUGUAGAAUAUCACAUACGGUUUUUUGCUUCGAUCUAAUUAGUCAUUGAGUUAUUCUUCAAAUAAAAGUACUAUAGAAUGUAAUAAUGCCCUCAAGGAAAUCACGAAAAUAGAAAUUAAUUGCCUUAAUAGUGUACACGAAUUUCACUAGAGCUGUUAGUUGUUUACUUCCAUCUAUGUUGGUUAAAAUAAUCUUUUUACAUAUGCAAAAGAAUUAAGUGGGUUGUUGUUGCUUCUCAUCCGAUUCCACCAAAACUUUACUACUAAAUUGUUGAGAAUCCUCAACCUACCCUGAUACCAAUUGCUGGAAAUUGGUACCCUCUCUAAUACCAAUUAUUGGGAUCUGCAACAUGCUCUAAUACUAAUCGUUGGAAAUCCAGUAGCUGCUCUGACACGGAUUCCACAAUGGAAGUUUUAAAUUGUUUUUUUUUUUUUAACCAUAAACUCUUCUCCGUGGCAAAAGUUUGUAAAAACACAAAGAAAGAAACCAAAUAAGAGAAGACAAAAAUAUUAGGUGAAUAAGAAUUACCACCCUUCUCGUCUUCUAUAUCCCUAGAAGACUUUUUUAUUUUCUCUCUCUCUCUCUCUCUCUCUCUCUCUCUCUCUCUCUCUCCAAGCAGCGUGAGCACCAGCAAUCUGCCGAGCAUCCCACUGAGCCAGCCAAGUUCUUCUCUCAUAUAUACUAUACCAACUCCUAAUUUAAAUAUAAUUCAAUACCUAUAUGUAUUGCAAAAGAUUAGUGUAAGCCAAAGCUGAUCAACAGUACAUCACUCCACCAUUGGCUGCUACUUAGAAUCAGAGAUGCAAAUUAGAAUUCUAAUGCAAAUUUCAUCUUUCACUUCUAUCCCAAUUUACUUAGGAUUUAACCUUUUAGAUAACAAAAAUCUAACCAACGUCUGUCAAAAUCUUCAUUCUAUGUGAAAUUAUUCUGUUGAAGUGUGUAUCAUAAAUCUAUGAACAUGAACACUGUACCGAUUCUUUCUAAUAAUUUCUAGUGUUCUAGUCAAAAUAUGGAACCACUGCUUCACAAGAACAGGAUAUACCAUUAGUAAAGUCGAUAAUAAAUCCUUCACUCAGUAUUUUUUGGCAAUAUGAGUUGGUUUCAAGUGUUCGAAUGAAGCUUAAAACCACUCAUUUUUUCGACAGGUUUUAACUGAUCUAUUGAAAGCAAAACAGUUUCAUCAACUUUGGCAGAUCAUUCAACCCAUGAUAAUGGCAAUAAAGGAGAAUCAUGUUUCUGAACUAUUUCGUAGUCCACAAAAUCCGUAUGCAGAAGCAGAUAAUUGUUAGUGUACUUUGAUAAGCACCUAAGCUGCUACGAAUCAUUUGACUCAUUCCAUAGAGAAGGAUAAGUACACUGAAUCUUAAUUUCCAAACAUCUCAAGAGGAUACACAAUAAUGAAACGAGGAUUAGCAUACUAAGAAAUGAGGAAUCUUUUAAACUUACAAGUGGAAGCACCAGAUGCUGCAGCAGAAGAUACAAUAGAAAGGCUUGCGAUCGAUUCAACUAAGCCCCCGUAGACAAUGGCUUUCAGUAUAUCCCACUCGAAAGGUUCUCUUGUAGCUUCUACUUGAAUUGGCUCGCUUUCAGGAAUCUGAACAAGGGAAUGUGGUGCAGGUACCUCAGGAACAGGAAUUAUUACAUCACCCCUAGAUUGGACGUCUACGAGGAUGUAAUUUGUAGGUUCUACUUUAAUUGGCUCGCUUUCAGGAAUCUGAACAAUGGAAUGUGGUGCAGGUACCUCAGGAACAGGAAUUAUUGCAUCACCCCUAGUUUGGACGUCUACGAGGAUGUAAUCUCCUGCAUAUUCAUUGCAGAGAAAUAAUACAAGUUAUGCCAAGUUUUUUUCUUUUUUCUUUUUUCCUUCGCACAAUCAAAUCAUUUAAUCUGGAAAAAAAAAAAAAAAAAAAAAAAAAAGAGGUGUGAGGAUCUUCAUAAAGAAAGUAGAAGAAAGAGUUGGAUGAAAAUUUCUGUGCACAUAUAUACCCUGGAAAAAAUCGAAUGCCCUUCUUACAUAUACACUGUUGUACAUCACAGAAUCUCCCUCUUGGAAAAUAACUUUUUCUGAUAGAAGGCCAACUUUUCCAAUAAUUGCACAACUCCCUAAUUUAGGAAAUAGGUAUUUUGUAAGGAACUGCAGUUUUGAGGUGUAUAAGUGUGAAUAGAUGAUCUUGCUGGGAUAUAUAGAUGUAAAAGCCAUUUCUGAUGAGACACAAAUAAUAUAAACAGAUCCUCCAAAACAUUCACAGGGAUGCACCUACAUAUCUAUACUAAAAUCUAGAGAUUUCAGACAAAAAAUAUUUCAACAUCGUGUAUUUGCAUAAUCUCUGCCCCACCUAAUAUAAUUGUUGAGGCUUCAAAAACGUAACAAUGUUAAUAAUAAUAUAGAACUUAGUGUCCUGUAAUAGACUAAUCUCUAGGGGCAUUUUGCACUGUUCAGAACCAUGCAAAGCAACCAGCGAGAAACUCAAAAAAAUUUUGGAGCUGUGGAACAACUUACAUUCUGACCAACAAGUUACACAAGUUGGUAAAUUGUGGAUCAUGUAAUUUCAGUAGCCAAAUGAUAAAAGAUUCUGUGCUGUGCUAGUAAGAUAGGUGAAAAAUAAAUCUGCGGCGUGUACUAGAUGAAAUUAGGUGAAGAAAAUCAAAUCUUUAUUUACUAGCUGCGAGUGUAUUUAGUAUUGCGACAUAAGCUAUCGCACUCAAAUGAUACCAUGAAUCCCAUGAAACCAUAUAUGGAAAUUUGGAUGGCCUAACCAGAGUUUGAAGUUGAUUACAUCAAAGAAUCCCACUAGGACUUCGAUUGCUUCAAAACUACCUCGUGGACAAAUUGGCCUCUGUGGAUUAACCAAGUAUAUGUCAACUGAUAUGAGUCUUUUCAAAAACAGUGUGUGUGGCUCUUUCUUUUUAUUUUUGCGUCUCACAAUCCAAAUUCUUGGCCUUUAAUGUCAAAACAAUGUAAAACAACUUUCAAAGCUCUGCUUUGAUUUGAUCAUAUUUGAUACCUAUUUCCUGUUUCGUUAAUUCACAUCUUCUGAAGUCCUACUUGCUACACAAUAAACACAUGCCAUCAUUGAAUUUUCUAUAGGAUUUUGAAUCAAGAAGAUAUUUAGUCGUCAUCGCCCUUUCUUUCCCUUAAAAUUAAACUCUACUUGUAGAGUAUAUCUUGCUACAAAACUACCUGCAACAGCUUCUGGUUGACUUGUGUCCACUGUGUUUUGGGCUGGUUCCUUCCCUGGUUCGCUUGAAAUAUUAAAUCCGUCAGGAGCUUGGAAAUCUGAUAUUGGAACAGCAAGAUUAGUUGCAUGCCGAGAUCACACGGAGAAGCAAAAGAAGUUUGUCCUUAUCUGUACUAUGAAUUGCUUCAACAAUUUUCAUGGUAGAAGCAUGAAAAGAAGAGGCAAUAUGACCGUAGAUAUAUGGAGAAGUUCAUUUCAAACUAUGAAGUUAAGGAAAGUAUUGGAUAAGUUUACACAAGCAAGUUCAUUCGCUUAUAAAGAAUGCACAGUUUUGUCCUAGGACGAUAUAUGUCAGAAAGAAUGAUUGAUGCACGAUGCAUAUCUACUAUAUCAAAAUUAGUUCAGAGGAAACCAAUCUGUCAGAAAUUCGGUGGACCUAAUAUAAGAAGAAACUUGCUAGAAAAACCAAGUUUUCUUAGGGCCAGUUUGGACUAACUAGAGCUUCUGUUAAAAAUGCUGCUUAAGUAUAGCUGUUUAAAGAAACACUAAUAGCUUUUCCAAGAAAUUGCUUUUACGGCUUCUCCCUUGCAGCAGAAGCAGAAGAUUGCUUGGUGCUCAGCUUUUGCGGCCUAGAAGCUCAUUCUAUCUUUGUGGCACAGCCAAAAUCUCAUGCUCGGAAGUUGCCUCUUUCUGGAGUAGAUAAACCUAGCCUGAUAAUUUUCAUCGCUGGUGAAGUAGCUUUUCACUUUCAAAACAACUACAACAUAAUGCACAUGUACGGACUCCAAAAAUAGCGUCUUAUGCCAAGAAAAAGCACAAAUGUCGACAAAGAAAACUUUAAAGUCAAGAAUUUCGUUCAGAGUGGUUUACCGGACCUGCAUUAAUUUUCCAAUUAUCUUGUUUCUCUCCCCUUGUACUUGGUUGAGAUGGCUGUGCUUCAAAUUCACGAAUAGGCUGUUGCGGAGCAGUUUGCUUUUCCUCUAAUGCUGGUUCUUGUUGUUUUCUAGGAACAGGCAAUUCUCUGGGCAAAACGGUCCCUGCACAAAACAGAAGUCAAAUUUCUAGAGAAAGGUGGAUUACUACAAUGCCAGGAUAUAUAAAUUAAAUGGCGUGAUUGUAAAGAGAAUAAGUCGCUACAUAGAUUAAUAGAUCUGACAGUACUUAAUCAAUUAUUGAGAAGAGAAAUCGGGCAAUCUGAAUAGCAAGUUGUAUCGCCACUUUCACACUAUUGAGCUCAAAUAUAGGGCAAGGAAUGAUUAGAAGUAAGGCCUUGGUUGGCAUUGCUGCUGCUUUUUGUUUUUCUUAAACACGAAUUCCGUGUGAUGGAGUGCGCAGGUGAAUUGCAGAUUGCCGGUAGCCUAUACAUCUAUGGUGUUUAUUUGGUAGCAAGAAACAAAAAAUUUAGGCCUCAUCUGGCAUUGUAGACAUUUUUCUGUUUUUUAUAAACACUCAGUCUACAUAAUUUCAUAUACAGGUGGAAACAUUUUUCUCUUGUUGUCGUGGUUAGUUAAUUGUAACAUACUCUAGCCAAAUAAUGGACAACAACUUAAAUUAAAAAAAAAAAGAAUAAAAGAUAAAGUUACUUUAUUUAUUUAUUUAUUUAUUUAUUUUGCUGACCAACCAACUUAGAGUGUGAGUAUUGCAAGCAACCCACCAUCCUUUUCAACAGUAUUUCACGUGAAAUUUUUAUUGAAGCAAAAAAGAAAAAUGGCAAUAAUACCAAAUGAGGCCUUAGAAGUAACUUUUUUUCUUUUUCUUUUUUUCACUUCUUUGUUUUUCUUUUGAAGAAGUUGCAUUUCGGCAUGUGGCUUGGGAGCGUCACAACUAAACAGCAAGGACAAAGAUAAAGAAGCCCAUCGGCCAACCCGGCGAUGAUACCAUAAGAAUACGUGGUAAGCGUGCACCUCAUCGGUUUCAAGGAAACAUAGUAAGCGUGAGCAUGGUAAGCAUCAGAAGCAUCAGAAUACGUGCUAAGCGUGCACGUCAUCAAUUUCAAGGACUUCUAAAAUCCACGAGUUCAAACGUUGCUCUUAUUUAAAUUCAACUUGGGAGGUCAGCUGAAAAAGGCUUCUCAUUUUACAGAAGUGCUCCCACUCCUCUAUUUUUAUUUCCUUCAAAACAGUUAUAGAGAGAUUUUAUCUAAUCAUUCGGUGACUGGUUCGCCCUUCAUUCUCAACCAGUAAAGAUAAGAUUCUCUAGACACCUUAACAACUAUUACCAAGGAUAAUAAAGUAAGUAUAUUUCAGAGACUCCUGCAAGUUGACAGAAUUAACAUAAAUUAUAAGGAAAGGACAAGUGCAUCUUCUGACCUGCGUCACUGUUUUCAAUGGUGAUUUGAUUUUGAUUAGAUGUUUCAGCUCCUGGUGCAGUUGAAUCUUCUGGACUUUGCCAUCCUCUCAAGGUCGGAUCGUCUCUGGGUUCUGCAUAAGCAAUUAAAGAUUGUGACGAAGUUUCAAUAACUAGUGUUGACUUACAAAUAUCAUCAAAUACAAUCAAGUUGGACAACAUCAUUGGUAAUCAUUUAGCAUGAUUACUUCAAUUCAUCCAUCAAUUUUUCCAAAUAGAGAAAGUAUCGACAAGAUAAACACAAAUGAAACUGACAAUCACCGUAUUUUUAAGAAGAAAGAUGAUUCCAGCAUUAAUUUUCUACAGGUCACGAGGCCAGUUCUACUAACAUGUCAUUCAUGUUUGCCAUUGGAAAAACUUACGCCAUCUGCGUCCCAUAGAGUUAGAUUUGCUAACUGUCUUCUCCCUGGGGAUCAUAUCAUGUGUUUUUCUAGAAAUGUAUCCGGUUUCUUCCCAGACAUACGAGCGAAGGGUGUAUACACACAUACAUACAUGAGUUGUGUGACUGGAUGUAUAUGCAUGAGAGGGAAAUGUAAUCUAGGAAAUUUUAUAAAAGAACUAGCUCUUUUGCUCAUAUUCUACACAGGUCACUGUUUUUGAUAUACUUGGAGUAAACUGAGAUAAGCCCCCAAAGUGCCUUAUCCUGUUGACUUUUGUCCUGGACAUAUCGACCAUCGAUGUCUGAUCAUAGACCCCAUUACUAAACAGUGAAGAUACUAUCCCUAUCAAAGAUUUAAGUACCGUGGUAGGGGGUCGUGCGGAAAACUUGAUGACACAGUAAAUGCCAAUACAUGCCGGUCACAAAAAAUAUGUGUACCAACAUAUAAUGAAAUUUAUUGAAAUAAAUACUUGCUAAUUUAAAGAAAAGGGAGUUUUAAGUCGUGUCAUCGGUACCGGAGCUGUACCGUGCCAAUAUCUUAAUGGCACGAUACAGCACGGUAGAUACUGUCCAUGCCGAUGGGCACUUAAAUACUUGACCUCUGUAUUAUAUAAAUUCUCCAACUAAUCGCAUUGCACCCUCAUUUUUCCAGUAUGAUAAUAUUUUUUGUCUUUCUCUAUCAAUUUAUCUCCCUAAAUAAUUAUGUGUUUUAAUUCAUUCCCUUGCGGUCCCAAUCUCACUACUCUUUACAAAUAAGGACUCCUAUAAUUUUCCAAUGUAUAUUGAAAAAUCCCUUUUACUCAUUUUCUGAUGCGAUUAGCAAGAGGAUUAAGAGAUUGUUUUGUAUAUACUAUAGAGUUAGAACACUAAGUCAAAUAAAAUAAAGGCUGGAGACAAAUCAGAACUACAAAAUAUAAACCGAACAAAUGCUAACUAGCCUAAACAUUGCAGCAAUUAAAAAUCAGGCAACAUGUAUUUGCAUCCUUAUAUUGUCUCUAACAAGCCGGAUUCAUCGAGAUUAGAAUGUCUAAUUAAUAUCUUACUUUUCAUUCUUAUUUUUCAGAAUAAUUUAAGUAUAUGGAUUUACAGGUUUCAGUGUAGUGUCAUAUGUAAGAAGAAUCAACCAAAAUAAUAAGCUCUGUCAAGAACCACAUAAUCAGAUAUCAACAUCAAUUCUUUACAUUUCCAAUUAAAGCACCAAAGUAUCAAAAAUCAGUCAGAGGACCACUGCCAACUUUUGCUGCUUAACUGGAAACUUUCUCAUCAGUAAUUUAUCCGGUAAUUUAGACUAGGAGUUUACUCUUUUAUGAUUAUUGAUACUUUAAAUGUUAAAAGCCACUGUAAUUAUAUAAGUUCAUGAGGAUAAAGUUGUGCCAACUUUCUACCUCGAGCGUUGUUGUGCUACGUUCUAAUAAAAUAUCAUAUACAAAUAGUCAAACUUAUAAGGGACCUUAAUAGGAAAAAUACAGUGGUCAAAUUAUCUUGUUUGUCUGCAUUAAUCAUUAAUAAAAGGGAAAACUUCAAAUACUUCCCCUGUGGUUUAGCAUCCUUUUUUUUUCAUUUUUCUUUUUUUUUACUUGAUACCCUGUGGUUUAAAGUGUACCACUUUAGUAUCCUAUAGUUUAGUUUUUCUCUUUUUAUUACCCCCUCCGUUAACUUUUUCGUUAAACUAGUGAUAAAGUUAAAACUGCAUUGUAUUAAACUGAAAAAUCAGUAAACCACAAAGGAGUAUCUGAAGUUUUGUUUAUAUGUUUUGACGGAGAAGUUAACAGAGGGUUGACCGAAAGAGAAAAAACGAAACAACAAUGUGCCAAACAAUGAUUAAAGUGUCAUGGCAUGGGGGCGUGCCGUUGUUUGCCUUGCAUAGUACGACACAGGAAAGCUUCCGUGCCGACAUGUGAUACGAUUGCGUGCCAAUAUAUACGCAUGACCUCCUAUUAGCAUGAUUUGGCAUGGACUUAUUUUAGUUUUUUUUGUUCCAAUAAACUCUUAUAAUGUUAUUUUGAAAGAUUUAGUCAAAUAAUUAUGAAUAUUAGCUAUGUAUAGUUUACUAUACUCAUCAAUUAAUAUACUGGUAAGCUUUUUUAUAUAUUAAGUACAACUAUACCUGAUAGAGAAUAGAAAUUAAAAUACAAUAAAAAAAACUCACAAGUACAAUAAUUAUUUAAAUUUAUAUCUUUGUAGAGAGAUGACUGCUUAAUUAUUUAAAUUUACAUUUUUUCAAUAUAUUGAUUCGAUCAAGAAGCAUAUAAUGACUAGAACAACUAGAAUAAGACCGCAAAUCCCCAAUUACAUCCAGAAUUUUUUUAUUUUUUAUUCUUUUAAAAAAUAUUUAAUCAAAAUUUGAAGAAAAUGAUUUUUAAAAAUAUACUUAGAAAACUUGUGAGAAUUUAUCAACUUUUAAAAUUCUUUUGAUUUUUCUUUCUUUUAUUCAAAUUUAAAAAUUUAUAAAAUACAAGUUAGAGAAACAUUUUUUCUCAAAAUUUUAAUUUUUUAAAAUUAUUUAUAUUAUUUUUUCAAAUUAUUAUAGGGUAGAAUUUUAAAAUGCAAAGACAUAUUUCUUUCUUUCUUUCUUCUGACCAUAUUACAGUCUUUUUUUUAUAAAAUACAAAGUAAAUGAUUUUUUAAAUUAUUUUUUAGAAUUAUUUGAAAAACAUAUUUUGUUUUAAUAUUUUAAGAAAAAUUGUUAGAUCUAUCAAUAAAAAUUUAGCAAUAAAUUAUAUGACAAAUAAAUUAAAUAAAUUUAAGUAUCAAUUGAUUUAAUUUAGUUUUUAAUUUUAUGAGUAUUUUCAAUCUUCUAAACCAAAAUAAAAUUUUAUAUUAGAUGUGCCUCAAAUUUUGUUUAUCGAGUUUGAUUUUGUAUGCUUGUGUGAGAUCCCUGGUGUUCUGCUGUGGAGGCUUGUCGACAGCUCUGGAGAAUGUCGGGACAAGUCCGAGUCGCGUUGGCGUCAAAUAGACGUAAAACGGAUUCCGUGCGACGCGAGGGCCGCUUAUCGCGAAGAAUUCUACAAAACAGCAGCAUUCUCUGCUUGCUGUACCGGUACAAGCUUAGUGGCUGUACCGGUACAACCAGCGCGAAAUAGCUUAACUGCUCUUGGGUUGGCUCUUGUACCGGUACAAGAGCCCGUGUACCGGUACAAGAGGGUAGGUAGAGGGCUAAAUGUGUAAUUUUAUCCCUCGUUUGUAUCACCCCUCACUCCCCUCUAUAUAGCUUCGUGUAGAGAGAGUGAGAGAGGUCUUCUAGCUGCUUUUAUCCAUCUCUCCAACUCCCUCAUCCGGUUGAAGGCAAGAGGGCGCUCGGAUUCGUCGCCGACGUAGUGCCGCGGAGUUGUUCGAGCGCUCGUUUGUCGCCGUGGUGCUGUGAGGAGCUUGGGCGGGCUUGGAUUUGCAUCGUCUUCGACGUGGUGACGACUCUUGAAGGUUGUUCAAGGUGAGUGUGUUGCUGGAAUCGCCUCUAUUACUUCAGCAACAUCAUUUUGAGCUUGAAUGCUAUUUUGCUGUUUUUCGCCGUCGACCGUUGGUAUUUCAGCUCGUUCUCGACGUAGGAGCACCGGAUUGCGACGCUCGAUUUAGUCCAUCAAUUUUGACCACUGUCCAGGUUUAGCGUCCAAAAGAGGAUUAAGUUAAAAGUUCAGGUUGUACAUAUUAGAUAAAUGAACUAUUUUAUACGAGCUUUUAAGUCUAAAAUGUAAGAUUGUUAUUAGGUACUUAAACUCGAUUGUUGAUAACAUCUUUAGUGCUAAAUAUGUACAGCUGAUUAUUUGUGAAUCCUCAUUUCGGCUACAUUGGGUGGAGUUUUCUAUUUAGGUCCGUCGCUUGCUUCGGAGCUUGGUCCUGUUGGAGACGACCUAGUUGAUCCCUGGAGGUUCAGGCCACCUGCUCGAUUGCGGUUCGAUUUGUUAAUUCCUAGGAGUUAAGUCAGGUCUUUAAGUGUCGUCGACUCAUCUUUGCCCUAAGCUGGCUCGAUUGGAAGUGGUUUAGACCGUUUACACCCGAAGCACUUAAGGAGAGCGUCAGGACUUAGGUUGUUCGGUUCAGANNNNNNNNNNNNNNNNNNNNNNUUUGGCUAGUUGGAGCCUGAUUGAGCUCGACAGAGAUACGCUGCAUACUCGGUUGGGUAGCGCCCACGAGUGCCACUCCGGAGUCAGGCUUGUGCUUUUGCAUUGGUGUCACUCAUGCCAGUUGGACUUGCUCUCCAGGGACCAGUUAGUGUGGAUAUUGCCGAUAGUCGCAGCGGGGCAGGGACGGGUGUAUUCACAGUCCCGGGGACGGGUAUGCUUACAGUCCCGAUUUGGAUUGGGUCAGAUUUGACAUUUCCUACAGUUGGUUAGUGUAGAGCAUGAUGGUGUAGUGGAUGAUAGCGGUAGAGUGUGCUUCCUGCUUUCCUUCUAUCCUUGCUCCCUUCUGUAGACUUAGUGGGUGACCGAUGUCGUGUUGGGCGGUACCCACUGAGGACUACUUGUUUUUACAGUAGUUCUCACGCCCAGUUGUUACUUAUGUUUUGCAGAGCCACAGGUGCCGGCUGCUGCAUCUUCCGCCGACCAGGAUCGAGGCAAGGGCGUUGUGAGCUAGAGCCCUACCCGACAGUCAGAGCUAGAGGCUUUCCCCUUCUGCAGGUAGUUGUUGUUUUGGAGUUUAUGUACAUAGUUAUUUAACUCGCCAGUGUGAGUAGCCUUGUAUUUUGGAUUCUAGCUAUGUAUAUGAAACUCAGAUAUUUAGCUUAUUUUUGAGCAGCUCUAUGCUACUGGUUGUAGUAUUAUUUUUCUACAGGUACUUUGACGCUUCGUAUACAGGAAAAAUUCCUUUGUAUACGGCGGAUUUGUGGGCGUGCCCGGGGAACGAGACAUCCGGGGCGUGACAGAUUAAGUUGGUAUCAGAGCUUUGCUAUAGGUCGUUGGGACCUAGGAAACCUAAGUUUGGCAAACCUUAGGAAGGCAAGAUGCGAGAGGCGUGAUAUUAAUUGCGAAAGUCAAUGAUUAUUUGUUCUAACUCCUCCUAGAGUGGGGUGAGUGAUUGAAGGAGUACCUGUUUUGGCCUGAGAAAUUAUGUUGGCUGCAGACGACAUAAUUUUGGAGAGAAACAGGGACCGCCUUCCAGACUUUCGUUGAUUGGGUCGAGAGUGUUGUGUGGUAUCUGACCCCGACUUGUUUCUUUUCAGCUAUGUAUCGUCGCCGAGGUCGACCGUCGCUGCGGGAUCGUGUGGGACCUUCUGAGAGGUCUGAGCAGAUGGAGCAGAGUACUCGGCAGGAGCAGAGGGACAGACCGGAGGCGAGUGCACCCCCUGUUGUGGAGCCGAGUGCGCGACCUGAGGCUAGCGUACUCCCUGAUCUGAGUGCACAGUUGGCUGCCCUGACUGAGGUGACGAGGCAGCAGGGGGAGUUGUUGCAGAGGUUGUGUGAGAGGAUAGCUCAGUCACCGAGUUCAGCACCGAGUGUACCAGAGCAGACUGUACCAUUCCCGACUACUCCAGUGACAGCUCCAGUUGCAGCAGUUCCUCCGUCAGUAGCAGUUCCAGUAGCGCCUGUUGCGCCUGCUAGGGGGCCAGUACCGUUGACUGAGGCCGAGCAGGAGCGGUGGACGGAGAGGCUCGUUUCCGCCAAUUUGAUCCACCGAUCUUCGAUGGCAGAGGCACUGAGGCCUGGGUUGUUGAGGGAUGGGUCAGUGCAAUGGAGAGGUUAUUCGAGGAUCUGUACGUUCCAGAGGGGGAGCAGGUACCUCUGGGAGUACACUGUUUGUCAGGUGAUGCACGUGACUGGUGGCGGAGAGUGAGGCGAGACCAAAGACUAGAGGCAGCGCAGCUGAGGUGGGAUGAGUUCUGUGGAAUGCUGUAUGGGAUGUAUUUUCCUAACAGCAUGAAACAGAAGAUUGAGGAGGAUUUAAAGAGGAUCCAGCAGGACGAGCGGACAGUUCAGGAGUAUGUUCGGGAGUUUACUAGACUCCUGAACUGUGUUCCGUUCGUGGCCAGAGACGAGGCACAUAGAGUCUACUUGUUCGAGCGGGGUUUGAGACCCGACCUGUUCAGGUUCGUUAGGGCGCAGAGGUCGAGGACUUUGGACGCGUCCAUUGAGCAGGCACUAUGGAAGGAGAGAGGAGAGGUGUCACUGCGAGAGAGGGCUCAGGGGCCGGGACAGAGUCAGGACAGGAAGCGCCCAGCUCCAGACGACGGAGGCCAGUCGAGUAGCAGGCGUCCGCCGAGACCUCCACGAUCGCGUUCUCAGGGUCGUGGGUUCUCGGGACGUCAGCGAUCCAGAGACUCCCGUCAGAGAGGACAGCCUGAGAGGGCGCCGCAGUGUGUGAUCUGCGGAGGACCACACUGGCCCAGACAGUGUGAGCAGAGGGAGGGCCGGUGCUACGGAUGUGGUCAGCCGGGACACAUGAGGGCAGCUUGUCCCAGAGCAGCAUCUCCAGCACCAUCAUCUGCUUCAGCUCCACCAGCACCUCAGCAGACUUACAGAGCAGCACCGAGUUACCGCCAGGAGGAUAGGUCGUCCAUGCCGCGACAGGGUGAGCGUCGACAGCAGGCUCCGAGUGGUAGAGUCUAUGCAGCUCAGGUGGAGGACUCUACAGCAGCCGACCGAGUGGUGGCAGGUAUCACUUUGAUUUCUGGCAUUAGAGUUCGCACUCUUUUUGAUACUGGUGCAUCGCAUUCCUUUGUUAGCCGAGCAUUUGCAUUGUUGCAUGGUCUAGAGUUAGGGGCAUUGUCACAGGCACGAGAGGUGCAGAUCCCGGACCAUGUUUUACAGGUUGCGGAGUGUUGUUGGUCGUGUCCGGUGCAGUUGGACUCGUGGGUCAUGCCCGCAGACCUGUUGGUGUUAGGGCAGCUGCAGGACUUCGACGUCGUGCUCGGUAUGGAUUGGCUGGCGCGGUACUACGCUACGAUCGACUGUGGAGCGAGGACGGUGAUGUUCCGCGAGCCAGGCCAGAAGGAGUUCACUUUCAGAGGCUGCAGGAGCACGCUAUUUGCCACCUGGAUAUCUUCGGCGAGGGCUCGACAGAUGCUGAGUAGCGGGUGUAUCGCUUUCCUAGUGACUGUUGUGGAGGUACCUACGGCGGCGCCGGGACUUGAGGACAUCCUAGUAGUCCGCGAGUUUCCGGAUGUAUUUCCCCCUGAGUUGACGACGUUGCCGCCGGAGAGGGAGAUUGAGUUUGUGAUUGAUGUAGUUCCUGGAACUGCACCAAUCUCAAAGGUACCUUAUCGGAUGGCACCGGCGGAGCUGAGAGAGCUAAAGGCGCAGCUUCAGGAUCUGAUGGAUAGAGGGGGUGCCAGUGUCGAUUAGUGGGUGACCGAUGUCGUGUUGGGCGGUACCCACUGAGGACUACUUGUUUUUACAGUAGUUCUCACGCCCAGUUGUUACUUAUGUUUUGCAGAGCCACAGGUGCCGGCUGCUGCAUCUUCCGCCGACCAGGAUCGAGGCAAGGGCGUUGUGAGCUAGAGCCCUACCCGACAGUCAGAGCUAGAGGCUUUCCCCUUCUGCAGGUAGUUGUUGUUUUGGAGUUUAUGUACAUAGUUAUUUAACUCGCCAGUGCGAGUAGCCUUGUAUUUUGGAUUCUAGCUAUGUAUAUGAAACUCAGAUAUUUAGCUUAUUUUUUAGCAGCUCUAUGCUACUGGUUGUAGUAUUAUUUUUCUACAGGUACUUUGACGCUUCGUAUACAGGGAAAAUUCCUUUGUAUACGGCGGAUUUGUCGGCGUGCCCGGGGAACGAGACAUCCGCAGCGUGACAGCUUGAUCCGAAAGCUUUGCAGUGCGACAAAUUUUGAUAAAAUAAUUUGUGAAAAAAAAGUGGAGCCCCCUGCGGUAUGGAUUGGAAAUGUAAACAUCUAUUUUCAACUUUUUAUAAACAUUUUAUAAACUAUAGAUUAAAAGUUACAUAAUUUUAUAUUUCUUUAAAAAAUAAGCUUUGCAAAUAAAAAAUAUUCAAAAUAUAUAAACAAAAUAUUCAAAAUAUAUAAAUUAUAAUUUUUUUGACUUACCUAACAAGUAGAUCUUCGAUUUGCAAAAGGCCAAAAAGAAAAAGUACAAAAGGCUAGGGGGGGUGCUUCGGUACCCUAAAAAAAAAAAAAGAUCACGGCACGGUACUCUACGCUAUCUAGCACGAUACUCGCGAGGGUCCCACAGCAAGGCAGGGGGGGGGGGGGGGGGGGGGGGGGGGGGGGGGGGGGGGAUUCGNGUGUGUGUGGGGGGUGCGAGACCCCCCCUUGUACCGUGCCCGGUGCCCCUUUCUUGGGGGCACGGUACGUGCCGCCCCGUGCCAUACAACACGGAGCGGCAUUUUAAUUCCUGGUGCCAAAGUGAUACAUUUUUAACCAUAUAGUACUAAAGUAAAAAGGCACUAAACCAUAGGGGGAGUAUUUGAAGUUUUCCGUUAAAAAAAUCAAUACUAAGCCAUUCAAGCAAUAAUGGAUUUUCUUUAGAAAACCAAUAAAAUAACCAGUAAAAUCACAACAUGAAGAAGCUAAUACCUUGCCGACUAACUUCAUUGUGGCUGGGAACAGGUUGGAAAAUAGAUGGAAUCCACAGUUUAAAUCUUUCAGAUAUAUGAGUUGAACUUUGUCGAUUUGGAGUCUCCUCUUUGCCUCCACAUAAGCGAAAUAUAUUCCAACCACCACCCUCUGUUCACAAUAAAGAGCUAUUUCAAGUUUCUAUCUUUAUUCAAGAGUUGGAGUUGCAUAAAAACUUGUUCAAUUUUGUCGAAUACUGACAAGCAAAUUGCAACUCCACAAUCACGAAGAAAUAAAGGAAAGCACACGAACUAGAAUCAAAGAAAUAAAGGAACUAUUUCAAGUUGCUAUCUUUAUUCGAGAGUUGGAAUUGCAUAAAAACUUGUUCAAUUUUGUCUAAUACUGACAAGUAAAUUGCAACUCCACAAUCACUAAGAAAUAAAGGAAAGCACACGAACUAGAAUCAAAGAAUUGAGAAGAAAUCACAAGAGAAUAACAGUUGUGAAUUCAUACGAGAGUAGAUACAACGGAGAGUAGAAAUUAUCAAUUAUGUUUAAAGUGGAUCAUUCUUUCGCAGAAAAAAGAUCAAUCGAAAGCACAAAAGAAAAAGAAAUAGAAUUUGGGUAGAAUAUAACUUGUGACAAAAUAUAAAGUUGCAGACCCAGCAAGAGAUAAGAGCAAUAUGUCACAUCAUACUACUUUUCGAACCCAAUCGACAUAUGAUGGUUGACAAACAAGUCAGAAGUUCUAGUUUGCUUUCAUGUGAAGGUGCAUAUAUCUCCUUGGCAUGGAAGAUGACACUAACAUGCAAAUAAGGAAAGAGGAAAAGAAAUUAUACCUGUUGGAAAGAAGAAACUGAGGCAUGACAGGCAUCUGAAACACUCAGGAGGCUCCGUAGGAGGGCCUUGAUCAUCAAUUGGUGGUAAAGCCAAUAUAGGAUCCGCUUCAUGAAUCCUCUUGGGUGGCAUAUCAUAUUGGAUACCUUUAAUCCACCUUUUUCUUUUGCGUAAAAUCACCCUUUUAGUUAUACAUGAGUUGCAAUUAGGACAGAACAAGUCAUGAGUAUCUUGCUCCUCUAAAACUCUCUCCAGAUCAAAGUCAGGUAAAAUUACUUUACUAGACUUUAGUAAUGUGAUCUGUUUUUGUACGAUAACUCCAUCAUCAUUUUGUGUAAUUUCACUGUAACUAGAUCCUUCAGAAGAAGUUUUCGCAUAUGACCCAUUUUCCACAAUCACAUUCUUCGAAGUACCAUUUGCGUCUCGGAUAAAAAUAACAUCUUGUCUGUUUAACUCAUUAGCUUGAGAACUAACGUGUCCAUUUGUUAGGUCCUUCUUAGCAUCAAACUGUACCUCUUCUCUGGAUUCUGUCCCACCAUUUGUCAGGUCCUUUCUAGCACCAAAUUGCACGUCUUCUAUAGAUUCCAUCCCAGCAAUAUCCGUAACUUCGGUACCUGCAACACCGCACAGCAGCAUAUCAGCUUCUAAUUAGAACCUUUUUAUAGCUUAUUAUUGACAGUUACAAAAAAUUUAAUAUGAACAAUAACACUAACAAUGUGUCGUACUCGGAAAUUUGCUCUUUGAAAUAGGACCGAAUAACAGCGUAUCAUAAUAAACCCAGCAGAAAUAGAACAAGAAAUAGAAGACCACUCAGAAUGUCAUGACAAUUAUCCUAUCGUUCAAAAUGAGAAGUGGUUAUUUCAUUUACGCGUUCAUCUUUGAUGUUUAAUAGCCUACAAGCUUAGCCAUUGUUUUCUAUUUGUUCGAGUUUCAGAAGCUCAACAACUAACCUUUAGUUGGUGAAGCAUAAAAUGACUCAAUGUGAGGCAAGGAUUCGGCAUCCACCGCCAUUUGGCAAUACCCUGCAUGAUUCGGGAUAUAAUCUCUGCUGCUUGGACCACUCAUUUUAUAGGUCCAAUUGCAGUGCCGACACUUCCAUACUCCUUCAGUAAAAGACAUAUAAAAGUAAUAGUGUGUUCACCGGACACCAGAAGAAGAUACAUAUUACAUAGUACAUAUAUAAAGGAGAAAAUAAAGGACAACAAUUUAAAAUUUUUAUUCGAAUUCACACCAACGGCGGGCAAACACACUAGGAUUCAAGGUUGGGAUAUAAAAAACCAUUUCAUAAAUAAUUAUAAAGCAUUCUAAGAAUUAGAGGUGGAUUCUGCUAGGUAUUGAAUAAUUACUUGAGGUGAUAUUACCACAAAAUUCAGAUUUUUGUGGGUGUAUACGUAUUUAUUUAGAUAAUGUUGCGCAUACACAAACAAAUAUUUCUGGGUAAACUUAAUUAGCCGCAAUUAGACAUCUCACAUAAUGACACCAACAUAUCUUACGCAGAUCUGAGUUGCUCUAAAAAAUGCUACAUUGCACUCUUCCAAACAAAAAGUUUAUCUCACUUGACACCUCCUGAUUCUUUGGAUAUGAGAGCAGAAAAUCAAUUCUUAUAACAUUGCUUUGGAUGCGGAAAUUCUUACACAAAGCAUUAGAACAAUUUAUCCGACUAAAUAAUCUUAGAAAAAUGUAUCCAACUAAAGUUAUAUUCACAGCAACGGUUUGACGGAAGCACAGAACUCAAUUAGGACAGAAACCUAACUUGAGUUCUGUAUGUGCCGUCUAUGAGGUGAAAAACAAAGGUAUCCUAAUAGAAAAGGAGGACGAAAUGCCUUUAAUAGAAUAUGUAUUAAUCUCCAGUCAUAUUAAGCAGAAAAAAUGCAAAACCGAUGAACUUGGACAUGAGGCUUGUUAUUACCGAGAAUGUUGAUGUUGUUGUUUUAUCAAUGUAACAUAUAGUAUGAAUAUCUUAGAAUAUUACCGAAUGGAUGAACAAAAAAGUAUUUAUGUGCGAACAGAUGAAACGAGAAAAUGAACUUUCAUUUUCUAUAGUUUACGUUCUUUCGGCAAACUAAAGACAUGCCAGGCAGACUAUUUUCUCGUUCUAUGUUCUUUCGAACAAAAGAAAUCCCAACACAUACCUAAGUCAAACGUAAGCAGCAAUCUUGUUAAUAUAGCACAGAUAUAAAGCUCCAAAGAUUUUUUUUUUUUUUUUGUAAAAACUGAAAAUCCUAAGAAGGUAUCAUAGAAAUUUGCAAAAUGAUAGUAAAGAAGAAAAAACCAUGUUGAAUAUAAAUAUUAAAAAUGCCACUCUUUAGUAGUUUAAGUUUUUGGAGAAAAACAAUUAUUUUAUGUAGUUUAACAUGAUAUCAGAGCAAAAAGUUGUAAAGGUGUGUCCCCACAGGCUCCUAGUAUUAUUUAAUUUCUCUCGCAUUUAAUUCAAGUUCAUGUCUUGAGCCUAUCAAAAAGUCUCAAGCCCAGAUAUGAGGAGAAGUGUUGAAAACACCGUUCUCUAGUAGCUUAAGUUUUUGGAUAAAAAAAGUUGUUUUAUAUAAUUUAACAGGUAAAAAAUAAUUAAAAAAUAUCUCUUAAACAAUUGGAAAAAUGCCAUUAUAAGACUUAGAAAGACAAAUGAGGAGACCUAGGAGCUCUGCAUUAUUUGAGUUAUUGUUUGCAAGAAAACUUUAAAUUCAUAUCACACAGUGGCAUCAGCUUGAUACGCCCUUCAUUGAUGUAAUUCUCCACUAAAUUUACCAAAAUAUCAUGUAGAAGAACUAAAAUAUUAUCUCACUAAAUUUAGAGCAAUAUGUUGGUGAAAAGAAUAUUUUCCUAGAGUGUUGUACAAUUUCUUAAAAAAUUUUAUAUGCAAAUGUAUAUGGAAGCUCAUAAUAAUUAAUCCAAAGGACCGAUCCUUACUAAAUCCAUCAGAUUUCUUAAAUAUCCCGACUUCAAGAAAAAGGACUAAAUAUCAGCAAAACUUUAUAUCUCCAAAAGUAACCCAUAAUUUCUAUAAAUUUCUUCAUACGAGAGGCCAAGGUUCAUACUUCAUUGAUACUCUAUUUUCACUAGUAACAUUAAAUUUACUUAAAAUCCAGUGAUAUAGACAAACUGAAGGUUAAUAGUUAUGGAAAAAAAAAGAAGCAAAUUUCUCUCAAAAUUAAUCCUUACUUUCUUCCUCCAAUACGGUCCGGGGAGCCUUAUUUUCUAGAUGCCUCCUUUAAAAAGGAAGCUGACUAGACGUAGAUAGUGUAUGCAUUUAGAGAUAGAUAAAUUAUCACCUAUAUAUAUGUUUCGAGAGGAGGUUCUAUCAAAGGAUAUAUUCCGAAAAUAAUACGGAGAAGAAGAAGAGGCCCCAUAUAUAUAUGCCACUCAAUCCUCCCAUCUAUGAGAAAAUUAUGCCAAUAAUACACAACUCUAGCAGGUCCCUCCAAAUGAAAAAUAACAGUAACCUUUUUCUGUGAGAUCACAAAAAAAAAAAUCUAAAUAUCCAAAGUCAAACAUUAGUUUGCGCAAGUUCUAGAACGAAAUUUCACUUUAUUCCGAGGCAGAUAUGAAUCCUAAACAUUAUCGUAAAUCUUCUCUACGAAAUAAACGCAUCGACCGGUCUACAAAUUUAACAAGCGAGAAGUCAAGUACCAUCUAUGGACCCAAAAUAAUCCAUGCUGCUUUCACGAUCCCGGAUCCAUCAUCAAUCAUUACAACCAGAUCGCGAGAUCGGUCAGCGUUCAUCAACGAGGAUCCCAAACACCCCCAUCAACCCUAAUUGCAGUUGGAGCCACAUGUAGCAAAUAAACUAGAAAUUGACUGGUGGGUAUUUUAGGAACAAGCAUAGAGGUGGCCCAAAGCUGGAGAAAGGGGACAGGGAACUGCCCCACCACAAAUUCAUGGUCACACUGAAGAGCAUUCUUGAAAAUGAACCAUGAAGUUGAUGGAACAAAUGAUGAGGAAAAUGAGACAAAUCUAGUAUUGUAGUCUAAUCUAAGCAAAGAAUCUAUCCACACAAGAAUGAUUGAAAGACCCCACAAAUGAAACAUCACACUCACAUAUUGAAUCUAAUCAAAUGCCCAGAUAAGAACAUUCCUGUUCCAUUGAACUUGUGGUGUGGUUCCAACAUCAAGAACCUAACCAAGAGUGCUACCAACAAGGUUAUGAAUGUAAUUCUACAUAACUUGUCCCAAUGAUUAAUGCCAAAAAUCAGAGCAUGAUUGAGAUGAGAAAAAAAAACCCACAAUACCUUUCUCAGAAUCAAAGUAGACACUCCUUGCCUCUUCACCAACCCCAGCCCCACCACCACCAUCCAAAUCCACCACCUCCUCCUCCUCCUCCUCCUCCUCUAUCUCCAAAGACUCUGCACCAUUAGCUUCUUUUCCAGGUAUGCCCUUGUCCCUCCUCUUCCUUUCUAAGCCCACCACAACUUCCUCCUCUUCAACCACCUCUUCUCCCACCACUCCCCCCCAUUUCCUCUCUUCUUCCACCUCCAUGGCUCCUAAACCCCUCUAUAAACCCUAGAAGUGAAUGAUUAGACCACCCAACAAAGUAGAAGUAGAAGAAGAUGGACACUCUUAUACUAAUUACUCCCUAGUGUUUCCCACACCCCAACUACUAUCUCCUGUGCAAGUAAACAUGCAAUAAAAAUGGUACUGCAUGAGGAUCAAUUGGUUUACUACUCUAUUUAAAUACUUUGCUCUGCUUGUCUUUACUGCUCUGAUUCUAUGCACUUGACUUUUUGGCUGUGGAUAUGGUUUAUCAGGAAGAGAGAUGGAAGAUAUUUGUUAAAUAUUAUAAAAUAUAUAAAUUCCAAUCUCUAAUAGCUUAAAUUUUUAGAGUACUUUAUUAUUUCAAACUCUCAAAUUUUUAUAUGGUAUCAGAGUAGAAGAUUCUGAGUUCGAGCCAUACCAGGUUCCUAGCAUUAUUAGUUUCCUCUCAUUUAAUUCAAAUUUAUGUCAUACGCCUUACAAAAAAAGUUUCAAACUCAGAUAUGACAGAGAGUGUUAAAUAUAAAAAUAUAUAAACACUGUUUUCUAACAACUUAAGUUUUUAGAGUACAAGGGUUAUAUUAUAAUAUUAUAGUGUCUAAAAAAAUAUUAAAAAAAGAAGUAGAAAUAUAGAGAACUUAAUUUUCGUUAUAAACCAUUUUGAUUUGAUUAUCAGAUGUUUUAAAAUUUUGAUUACAGAAUUUACUCUUUUAACUCAUUUGAUUUACAUCUUUCAACGGCUCUUUCAAUAUAAAAUUUAAAUUAAUUAUUUAUUUUAAUAAAUUUAUAGUUGUGUAAUUAUGUAAAAUAUACUAGUUAAAUUCGUAAAGAUAAAUAAUAGAUUCAAAUUUUAAAGUUAAAAAUUAUUAAUCUGUUAAAAUUAAAUAAAUUAAAAGAUUAGAUAGUAACAUUAAAGUUUUUAAAAUUUAAGUUAUAAUUAUAAUAAAUUAUCAAUCGUCUUUUCAGUAAGUGACAAAGGACUUAAUAGAUGAUAAUUGGGAUAUCGAAAUUCAAAGCUUAGUUGAUUUAAGUUCUUAUUGAUAAGAAAAUAAAAAGUCAAGUCAGUGUGAAUGUUAGCUGUAUUUGUUUUUUGGGAAAACUUCAAAAACUCCCCUAUGGUUUCGUAAUUUCUUACUUUGCUCUCCUGUGGUUUAAAAUGUAUCAAUUUGCCUUCCUGUGGUUUUUUUUUUUCUUAUCAAUUUUAUUGUUAUUUUUCUUAAAUCAGUGAUAAAGUUAAAAUUAAAGGAUACUAAAGUAAAUAUUUGAUAAAUCUAGAUGCAUAUCUGAAGUUUUUUACAUAUAAUUUAAUAAAAUAUUAACGAAAAAGCUACCAAAAAGAUAAAAACGAAACCACAGAAGGACAAAUUGAUACACUUUAAAUUAUAGGAUGGCAAAGUGAGAAACUACCAAACUAUACGAGGGUUUUUGAAGUUUUCUCUUGUUUUUUUUAUUAGAAUUAUUUAUUUUUUAUUUCAAUGCACAUGUACGUGAACUGGCGAGACAGGGACAGUUGGGCAAAAUGAGCGUGAAGGAAGGUGGUGCUUGAUUUGACGACUUCCCAUGUUAGGUUGUGCCUUAUUUAUUGCUGCCAUCCAAUUCUUCAACUCCUAUUUAAAGUACUGGAACGUUCUUUAAUGCCCAUUAAUAAUAGUAAUAAGUCGAGAAGAGUUACUAUACUAUCAAAAGUAUAAAAAAUUUGAUAUUUUCGGCUUUUUAUUUUUUAAAUUAACUAUUUAAUUUUUUUGAUUAUUUUUAAUUUUUAAAUUAAUACUAUUAUUAUGUAGGAAUCACUCAAACAUAGAAGUACUAUUUAAUCCUAAGAUGGACCGCAAUCAUUCCAACCGUACAAUUCUUGAUACAAGAGUCAAAAAGCCGGAAGCAUAAAACUCUCUACACUUCCCAUCGCAUAGUAGCUCUACACUAAUAGUAAUAAGGUGAGUAGAGUUACUAUACUAUCGGAAGUAUAAAAGAUCUUUUACUACCGACUUUUUAUUUUUUUAAAUUAACUCAUUUGAUCAUUUCUAAUCUUUGAAUUAAUAUUAUUACCCUAUGGGAACCACUCAAUCCUAGGGGAUGAUAAUCAUCCCAAUCGUAUAAUUCUUGAUCCAAGGACUAAAAAGUCGAAAGUAUCAGAUUCUCUAUAUUUUCGAUAACAUAGUAGCUCUACGCAUAAUACGACUCUACUUAUAAAAGUUACGAUUUUUCUGUUUAUAAUUCUAUGCGUAAAAUUUAUCUGCAUAUUAAAUAAUUUUAUUACUCAGUAGCAAAAUCUUGCAAUUUGAAUUAUGUGCAUAAGCAACUAAAAUUUUUACAUUAUAUAUAUUUUAACAUAUCAAUAAUUUAUAAAAGCAGCAUUUUGAAGGGCCAAUAUAAUAAUAGUCAUCUUUGCUAUAUAUAUAUUAAAUAUCUUGCACACAUAUCAUCGUCACGUUUUAUAUUAAAUUCAAAACAGUUUUUUUUUUUUUUAAAAAAAAAAAUUUCCAACAUGGUUGUCAUUUUGUGUGCCUAAUUCACGUGGCUUUGAUAAUGAUGUAGCAUGCAGAAUAUUCCAUUUAAUUAAACAAGUACUUUGUCCGGAGCUGAUAUUUCUUCUAGUACUUAAAAUUGAAUUAUCUAUUAACACCUUGCGAAUAUUUGCCUUUUUUUUUUUAAGGAAAAAUUUCAAAAACCCUCCAUGUAGUUUCAUUGUUUCUCACUUUAGUACCCUGUGGUUUAAAGUGUAUCAAUUUGCCCCCUUGUGGUUUCGUUUUUAUCUUUUCGGUAGCUUUUUCGCUAAUAUUUCAUUAAAUUAUAUACAAAAAGUUUAGAUACCCAUUUAGAUUUAUCAAAUAUUCACUUUAGUACCAUUUAAUUUUAACUUUAUCACUGAUUUAAGAAAAAAAAUAAUGAAAUUGAUAAGAGAAAGAGAAAAAAGAAACCACAGGGGGGCAAAUUGAUACAUUUUAAGCCACAGGGGGGCAAAGUGAGAAACUACAAAACCACAGGGGUUUUUUUUUUGAAGUUUUCCCUUUUUUUUUAUUCAGAAAAG
Molecule: long non-coding RNA, 63269 nt
Filed under: Ananas comosus (pineapple)
Lineage: Eukaryota; Viridiplantae; Streptophyta; Magnoliopsida; Poales; Bromeliaceae
Description: long non-coding RNA (ACOM_LNC031271)
Source: RNAcentral